Molecule: long non-coding RNA, 63146 nt
Filed under: Hordeum vulgare
Lineage: Eukaryota; Viridiplantae; Streptophyta; Magnoliopsida; Poales; Poaceae
Description: long non-coding RNA (HVUL_LNC017593)
Source: RNAcentral
UUUUUUUGUUUUUUUGUUGUUGUUUCUUUUUCUUUCAUUAUUUAUCCUUUUCUUAUUAUUAUUAUUCUCUUACCAUCUAUUUUUUAAUACUUUCUUUUAUUCUAUUAUAUAUAUAUAGUCUUUCUGUUUUAGCUAUAUGGUUAUUAGAAAUAAAUCUUAAGAAGCCCGAUUCAGUUAUAUAAUUCAUUAGGGAAAUUUUUUAUAUAACUCCCCCGACAUUUUUAUUUCAACCCUAUAACUUUUCUCAUUUGAUUUUAAACUUAAGUCUUAAGUUCGAACUGACUCAAACAAUCGCGAGAUCAAUGAUAGGAAACACGGUGACGUGGCAUCCUUUACAUAGGUUUACUGUAGUUCAAUUACCGGGAUUACUGUAGCCUAAUCCGGGGAUGUCACACUGAGAGAACCAACUGUCGCACACAAAGAGAGGAUCUUGACAAUGUCUAAACUAAGAGGGCGACCAUGUUUGCUCUGAUAUCUUAACUAAGUGCAUUGGAGAUGUAAAAACUGCCCAAAGAUCUACAAGGGCAAUAUUGCGGUCAUGUUAAGAAGCACAUCAUCAUUCUUGAAGCAUUUGCAUCACAUUAUCUUUCAAUUUGGCACGCUCUCUUUGUCAUGCUCGUAUCUCACAAAUGGCAUCAAUGUGCCACAACGAUCACCAUCGUUUUGUUGGGGAACGUCCCAUGGGAACAAAAAAUUUACCUACGCGCACGAAGACCUAUCAUGGUGAUGUCCAUCUACGAGAGGGGAUUUCCGAUCUACAUACCCUUGUAGAUCACACAGCAAAAGCGUUAGUGAACGCGGUUGAUGUAGUGGAACGUCCUCACGUCCCUCGAUCCGCCCCGCGAACCGUCCCACGAACCGUCCCGCGAUCCAUCCCACGAUCUAGUGCCGAACGGACGGCACCUCCGCGUUCAGCACACGUACAGCUCGACGAUGAUCUCGGCCUUCUUGAUCCAGUAAGAGAGACGGAGAGGUAGAUGAGUUCUCCGGCAGCGUGACGGCGCUCCGGAGGUUGGUGGUGAUCUAAUCUCAGCAGGGCUUCGCCCAAGCUCCGCAGAAACGUGAUCUAGAGGUAAAACCGUGGAGGUAUGUGGUCGGGCUGCCUUGAAAAAGUUGUCUCAAAUCAGCCCUAAUAGCUCCAUAUAUAUAGGAGGAGGGAGGGGAGGCUUGCCUUGAGGCUCAAGGAGCCCCAAGGGCUGCGCACCAAGGGGAGGAGGAGUCCUCCUCCAAUCCUAGUCCAACUAGGAUUGGAAGAUCUUAUCGUUUGAACCUCAGUGCCAGGGAUUCAUACAAUCCCGUAUGUCAUUCCCUUUGUCCUUCGGUAUGUUACUUGCCCGAGAUUCGAUCGUCAGUAUCCGCAUACCUAUUUCAAUCUCGUUUACCGGCAAGUCUCUUUACUCGUUCCGUAAUACAAGAUCCCACAACUUACACUAAGUUACAUUACUUGCAAGGCUUGUGUGUGAUGUUGUAUUACCGAGUGGGCCCCAAGAUACCUCUCCGUCACACGGAGUGACAAAUCCCAGUCUCGGUCCAUACUAACUCAAUGAACACCUUCGGAGAUACCUGUAGAGCAUCUUUAUAGUCACCCAGUUACGUUGCGACGUUUGAUACACACAAAGCAUUCCUCCGGUGUCAGUGAGUUAUAUGAUCUCAUGAUCAUAGGAACAAAUACUUGACACGCAGAAAACAGUAGCAACAAAAUGACACGAUCAACAUGCUACGUCUAUUAGUUUGGGUCUAGUCCAUCACGUGAUUCUCCUAAUGACGUGAUCCAGUUAUCAAGCAACAGCACCUUGUACAUAGUCAGAAGACCGUGACUAUCUUUGAUCAACUGGCUAGCCAACUAGAGGCUUGCUAGGGACAGUGUUUUGUCUAUGUAUCCACACAUGUAUAUAAGUCUUCAUUCAAUACAAUUAUAGCACGGAUAAUAAACGAUUAUCUUGAUACAGGAAUNNNNNNNNNNNNNNNNNNNNNNNNNNNNNNNNNNNNNNNNNNNNNNNNNNNNNNNNNNNNNNNNNNNNNNNNNNNNNNNNNNNNNNNNNNNNNNNNNNNNGAGCUUGCAUACCUUGUUAGCAUUUUUAGGAUCGACAAAACCUUCGGGUUGCAUCAUAUACAACUCUUCCUUAAGGAAACCGUUAAGGAACGCCGUUUUGACAUCCAUCUGCCAGAUUUCAUAAUCGAAAAAUGCAGCUAUUGCUAACAUGAUUCUGACGGACUUAAGCAUCGCUACGGGUGAGAAUGUCUCAUCGUAGUCAACUCCUUGAACUUGUGAAAAACCCUUUGCCACAAGUCGAGCUUUAUAAACGGUCACAUUGUCGUCAGCGUCCGUCUUCUUCUUAAAGAUCCAUUUGUUCUGAAUAGCCUUGCGGCCCUCAGGUAGUACUUCCAAAGUCCACACUUUGUUUUCAUACAUGGAUCCUAUCUCGGACUUCAUGACCUCCAGCCAUUUGUUGGAAUCUGGGCCCACCAUUACUUCUUCAUAAUUUGCAGGUUCAUUGUUGUCUAACAACAUGAUUGACAAAACGGGAUUACCGUACCACUCUGGAGCAGCACGUGGUCUCGUCGACCUGCGUGGUUCGAUAGGAACUUGAACCGGAGUUUCAUGAUCAUCAUCAUUAACUUCCUCCUCAACCGGCAUCGCAACGACAGGGGUUUCCCCUUGCCCUGCGCCACCAUCCAGAGGGAUGAGAGGUUCGACAACCUCAUCAAGUUCUAUCUUCCUCCCACUCAAUUCUCUCGAGAGAAACUCCUUCUCAAGAAAAGCUCCGUUUUUAGCAACAAACACUUUGCCCUCGGAUUUGAGAUAGAAGGUGUACCCAACUGUCUCUUUUGGGUAACCUAUGAAGAUGCACUUUUCCGCUUUGUGUUCCAGCUUUUCAGGCUGAAGCUUUUUGACAUAAGCAUCACAUCCCCAAACUUUAAGAAACGAACAACUUUGGCCUUUUGCCAUACCACAGUUCGUAUGGUGUCGUCUCAACGGAUUUUGAUGGUGCCCUAUUUAAAGUGAAUGCAGCUAUGUCUAAUGCAUAACCCCAAAACGAUAACGGCAAAUCGGUAAGAGACAUCAUAGAUCGCACCAUCUCUAAUAAAGUACGAUUACGACGUUCGGACACACCAUUAUGCCGUGGUGUUCCAGGCGGUGUCAACUGUGAAACAAUUCCACAUUGUCUUAAGUGAGCACCAAACUCGAAACUCAGAUAUUCACCCCCACGAUCAGACCGUAGGAACUUGAUCUUCUUGUUACGAUGAUUUUCAACUUCACUCUGAAAUUGCUUGAACUUUUCAAAUGUUUCAGACUUGUGCUUCAUUAAGUAGACAUAACCAUAUCUACUUAAAUCGUCAGUGAAGGUGAGAAAAUAACGAUAUCCGCCGCGUGCCUCCACGCUCAUCGGACCGCACACAUCGGUAUGUAUGAUUUCCAACAAGUCACUGGCACACGCCAUUGUUCCGGAGAACGGAGUUUUAGUCAUCUUGCCCAUGAGGCAUGGUUCGCACGUGUCAAGUGAAUCAAAGUCAAGUGACUCCAAAAGUCCAUCGGUAUGGAGUUUCUUCAUGCGUCUUACACCAAUAUGACCUAAGCAGCAGUGCSACMAAAACAUAGGCGCUAUCAUUGUUAACUCUAACUCNNNNNNNNNNNNNNNNNNNNNNNNNNNNNNNNNNNNNNNNNNNNNNNNNNNNNNNNNNNNNNNNNNNNNNNNNNNNNNNNNNNNNNNNNNNNNNNNNNNNAGUUGAUACACUAAUAAAUAGCACGUGGUUGGUUAGUUCUCACGUGCGCCGACUAUCGCAAGCGGGCGCUGCUGUGCUGCGUAGCCACGUCGUUCAAUUUCCUCCUCCAAAGGGUUGAGGCAUCAGUUAGGUGCGUUAACUCUUUGCUCCUUUACAAUCUUAUUAGGGAUCGGUUCAAGAUGAUCUUAUAUUGUACUACUAAUCAGCAACUAACAAACUGUUAACAAUUUUACUAAAGCACAUUUAAAUGUGUCAUAACUAUUGCACAUCUAACCUAUGUUAUUGAUUUAAGGCGGAGAUUCGUGUGGGUGAUUUUCUUUUUUCAUUUUAUGUUUGAUUGAAUCAAUUAGAUAUGCAACAAUUAGGCAGACCAUACUCAAAAGCCCAAGUUUUGGCCACCCCAAAAUCCUAAUUCUUUUCCUAAAAUUUAUAGUAUCAUAGUUACUAUUCUGGAGGUUUUUAAUCACAUUUGAAUGAGAAAUAUCAGAGUCAUCGAUCUAUAGUGUUAUGUCUAUUUGACGGGCAGGGGGAUCCCGAUGUCUUCGCUCAUGUCAGUAGUUUAGGCUAGCGUUUUUUAGUCCUCACAAGUACGGCGCUCAAGGGGAUGGCGACACUUCUUCUUUGAGUCUGUCUUCCACGCUUCAAUAGUUUGUUCUUCUCGACGUAGUCAACGGAGUGAUGUUAAGAUUUCUCGUCAGGUGAUGAGAUUUGGUGUCUGACGCUUCAGAGCUUCAGACCUAUGCAAGUGUUCAUGGCUCCACGACGUUGGUCCUUAGGGGCACGUGUACCAGACUUCCGGUUGUCAUCGACAAGGUCAAGCCGGCUCCGACAAUGGUGAUUGCUCGAUGGUCUCGGAUUCUCGAUGUAAGUUUUGUUAUAUGUAAGAUGCUUUGUACUUUCGGUGAACUUUUAUAACAGUUCUAUAACAGAUCUGAUCCUUUUUGAACAAAAAAAGAAAAUAAAAAGUUUUCAUGUUUUCUAAUAAAAUUAGAGAAAAUCAUGAACUGCUUCAAUAACUAGUACUCUUACUGUAAACAAAUAUAAGAUGUUUUAGGUCAGUAUAAAGACCUCAUUUGUUUCCAUGGAGUCCUGAAAAUAGCAGCAGAACCCAACAUCACCACUUUCCUGUACCUCCCAGUGAAAGCAGCAACCAAUUACCAUACAAGUCAUUUAAGCAUGAAGGCUUACAGUCAAUGUCAAUAUCCCUAGAGAGGCACUUGUAAUAUCCCAAAGCAUAUCUUGCGAGAGGGCAUAGGAAGAGCAGCUGUUCUAGAGCUUCAUGCUCAUCACAAAACUCACACAAAUCAACUUCAUUCCAUCCUCUUGGCCAGAAUGCAAUUUCGGGCUACGAACCAACAUGAAACUUAAGGGGAAGUUGAGAGAAUUUACCUGAGUUAGUCAAAAGCCACAUCACUCUAUUGGUUCCUCUGACAGGCUCACCUGACUGCACAUUUGCUUCAGGUUUUGCCACAUAGUGAGAGCAUCCUCUCAAAAAGCGCCAAAAAGGCCAAAACCUAUCUAUGCCCCUGGAGAAAACUUUAUGAACAGUAUAUACGUAUGCAGUCCUCAAGUGAAACCUCUAAAAAGACUUAUAUUUAGGAACGGGGAAGUAUAUGUUAUCAUCAGUUUCCUUCCAAUUUGUAUUAGUCAGACACUUAAAAUGCCUAGGAAUGCCUAAAUACUCAAAAGGAAAGCCACAUACAUUGCAGGUAAAGAUAUGAGCAUAGAUAUCCUGCUUGUCUACAGCUGUACCAAAGCAAGUGACCUCAUUCUUGUGCAAAUUAAUCUUCAAACCAGUAAGAUGUUAAAAAUGCACAAAAUAAACUUAAGAUUUCUGGCACCCUCUACAUAAUCCUAAAAUAAGAAAAUUGGUAAGUAGACCCUUAAACAAGCCAUGGUCUUGUCUCUUGUGCUCUCUUAAUCAAGACAUCAGCUGCAAUGUAAAACAUAAGCGGGGAAAAAAGCAACCCCUCCAAUAGGCCCUUUAGGACAGAAGGCUCAGCACAAAUGAUUAAGUAGUUUCACAUGAACCAUGGUUAGAUGGUAAUGGUAGCACACUACAGAAGACCAUUGUGCAUGCUAUGACACCGUGAGAAAGUUCAUCAAAAUCGCAAGAAAAACUUGAUCAAACCAGCAAAAAGAACAUAGAAGAAGACUUGUUCAAGAAUAGAGCAUACAACACGAUUUGAACUUUCUAAGGCUUCCAAUCAAUGUGGGCAAUAUGCCAAGCAAAUAUAUUCUGACCUUCAUCAAACGGUUUCUACUGUUUUUCGAAAUAAAACUGAAUUAUUAAAGGAGAUUCAGUAAUGUAGCAAAACUUACAAGGCGAGCUCCAAUCUUUUCCAUUGCAUAGGUGAGGGUAAAGUAAUAGUACAGCUAACAAAUACUCCCUCCGUUCAUAAAUAAGUGACUAGGUUGUAGUUCAAAUUUGAAGUAAAACCACGUCACUUAUUUAUGAACAGACGUAGUACUACUUAUUUAACCAGUACACACUAAGAGCAACUCCAACCGGCCGACCCAAACAGACGGCGGUUUUGUCCGCUUUUUCUCUGUUUGGGUCGGCUGCGCCCAACGCGGGCGACCCAUUUUAUGCCCGCACAUUAGAUAAAACAGGCCAGCAUGCCAACGCCCAAGAGUUCAUGCCGGCACCAUGCCAACAGACGGCAUACAUUGCCUGCCUACAUUAAAAACCACCACGCAGUUUAUGCUGGMYRCGUGGCAGYCAGCGGCCGGCACACAUGCCAGCACGACCAAAAGCGGCGGGAACUUCCGACCACGCCANNNNNNNNNNNNNNNNNNNNNNNNNNNNNNNNNNNNNNNNNNNNNNNNNNNNNNNNNNNNNNNNNNNNNNNNNNNNNNNNNNNNNNNNNNNNNNNNNNNNUAUUACAAGCCAGGGGCCGUCGAGGGCUAGAAUACAUAAGCUCGAUAAACACACGAGUCAGCGGAAGCAACAAUAUCUGACUACAGACCAUAAAACAUGGGGUGCCUUAGAGAAGGCUAGCACAAAAGAAACACGAUCGAACGAGGCGAGGCCUCCUGCCUGGGAACCUCCUAACUACUCCUUUUCUCGGCGGCGUCCACGAAGAUGACACCAUCGGGGCGGCAGGCGUCGGCAGGAAACUCCACUCCUGGGCUCCAUCAUCUGGUCGCAGCAAACGGAAGUCAAGGGGACAAGGGGGGAGGCAAAGCAGCGGUGAGUACUCAUCCAAAGUACUCGCAAGUCUUACAUCAGAACUAUUCUAAUUAUGCAUCAUUAUCAAAGAAGGGGGGGUUAUAUGUGGACUGACUGCAGCAAUGCGAGAAUAGAGAGAGAAGGCCUAGUCCUAUCGAAGUCUAGCAUCUUCAGGAUCUUGCAGCAAUAGACGAGAGUAGAACAGGGGUAAAACAUUAAUAGUCAUAUUGUUGCAGCAAUAUUAAAGUGAGGUCGCGCCUAAAGAUCCUCCCUCGACUCCCUGCGAGGAAGCAAUCCCGAGGCAAACGAAUUCCAGUUAAGUAACCAUUGUAGUUGUAUAAGAUCGGGGCACAACUCCAAGUGGUCCUGUAACCGUGGACACGGCUAUCCGAAUAGUUAAUUUUCAUCCCUGCACGGGUGCACCACAUGUCCCGUCACGCUCGAUAACACUCUGGCCGGACAUACUUUUCUGGGUCCUGCCCGGCCUCGGAAUAUCGACACGUCGCAGCCCCACCUAAGACUAAUCAGAGAGGUCAGCCCGCCGGUCUAAAUCCUAAGCGCAAAGGGUUCAUGGGCCCAGUUCCCCUCCGCGCUCCUGCACGAUGCGAGGGCCGCCGAUGUCAGUCCUAGCAUCCCUUAAUCACAAGCGCAAUGCAUCUCGGGACCACUCGGGCGCGCGCCACUACGAUUGUUGACAUCUGAAAAGCUUCGUCUGAUACCGCGACGCCGAGUACCCAUAAUUCUUCCCGCAUAGCCGGUUAGUGCGAAAAGGUCUCCGACCAACCCAGAUCAAAUACCCAAAUCCAUUAACAUUUUAAUUAGGCCAACAACACAGUCUCACGGGAAUCCACCCGUCUUACAACUAAUCACUAAUGAUCCCAGUAACAUGGUCGAGUAACUGUGUGGUUGUAACAUCAAAGGGAAUCCGAGGUAUCACCCUCGUUGGAUUCCGAACGAUGUACCCGUCAAGGUGGGCUUAGAGGAAUCACCCUCGGGGGUCCCACACUUGAGGGGUUGCACAACAGAGGCGUCAUCGGGGAUGGUGAAAGAGGAAUCACCCUCGAUAACCAUGACCGACUAGCUAUACUAUAGAGAUAUCAUCAGGAAUGCUUAGCGAGGUGUCACCCUCGGUACCCGAUAGUAUCUCUGUAACGUCGUACAACGAAGGGGGUGAAUGUGUUGUGUCGGGUCUGGCUCGUCGAUCAGGGAUCGAGAUUUGAAAACAAGCGGGGCAACUGGACUACGGGGUCUGGAGGGGAUGACUGCUCCACCUAUACUAAGCAUAUUAAAGGUACAGGACUGACAGUAGCAGUUCAUACAAAAUAGGCUAUGCAUCAGAUAUAGGAGCUAAACUACAAUAGUAGACUAAAAUACUAAUGACAAGCAAGGUAAGGAAAGAAAGACAGUANNNNNNNNNNNNNNNNNNNNNNNNNNNNNNNNNNNNNNNNNNNNNNNNNNNNNNNNNNNNNNNNNNNNNNNNNNNNNNNNNNNNNNNNNNNNNNNNNNNNACCGACGGCGUGCGCGCCGAGCGUGCGUGACGAGGACGAGUGCNGUGCGAGCGACGAGCGCCCGACUGAGAGCGCGAAGACGUGCCGCAGCCGAAGUUGACGUGGGCACGCGCGUCGUCCGCCUUGCCGCGGGCGGUUGUCGGCGAAGGUGAAGGUCGUCGGUGGAGAGGAGGCCGGCUCGUCGCGGAGCCGUCGCCGUAGUAGUAGUAGUAGGUGCACUUGUCGCCGGCGGCGCAGGAGGAGUCCGGGAGCUCUCGGCACGCAACGGAGUCGCAGCCCACGAGGCGGUACGUCUUGGACUUGGAGGGGUCGAACACGACGCGCGGCGGCGGCGGCGGGGGAGUGGGCGUGUCGCCGGCGAACACCGGGCCAGGACCGUGGGCUCCCUUCUUGCUGCAGUUGAGCCAGACGAGGUCGCUGCCGGUGUCGGCGAUGGCGAGCAGACGGGUGGGCGGCGUGCCCACGUUCACGGCCAUCAGGUACUCGAACGGCGUGGAGGUGAGCUCGGACACGACGCCGUGGGCCGACGGUGCGUCGGCGCGGGCGUAGGAGCGCCCGAGCGCCUUCAGCACGCGGUCGUGCGCGGUGAGCGAGGGGUCGUGGAACGGCGACCCGACGGAGUCGCGGUGGAUGAACUCCACGCUAAACCCAUCGCCGCCGUACGCCGUGCAACCGCACAGCUGGGCCGUCAGGACGACGCCGACGAGCAGAAGGACACGAGAUAUCGCCGUCGUCGUCGCAGGCAUUGUGACCUAUCACUGUGGAGCUCAACUCCCAAUGCAAGGAUUGGCUGCUGCUGCUUCUGCUGCUAAUUGCUAUGCGUGGAUACAUAUAAUAGGGGAUUUUGCCGAAGUUAAUGGUGAGACGAAUUGGCAAACCAGGAUAUGAUAUGAAGUGCUGAUUAUUGACGAAUAUUAAUUACCAGCUUGCUGCAGUAAUUAUGUGCAAUUAAUUACCUUCUGCAUCAAGCAUGGAAUUAAGGGUAGGUUCUACGUAUUGGAAAGCUGGGGAUGAGGGGGAGAUCAUCUUGUGCGUGAAACUGAAGAUUCUGCUAUUAAUUCGUGAUAAAAGAUAACAAGUGAUUACUUGCCAAUCUUGCCAAUGCUUGUGAUCGGGCACUCGAGUGGCACUGAUCGAUUGAUUGGCAAGUACGUCACCGGCCACCCGGCAAAAAUUCUAGAAUGGUAAAUCUUUGUGAAAUGGUAAGGAUUAAACAGGUUAAUUUCUCGGAAAUCCAAUUUGGCUCCUGGAUGCACGUGUUUCUGUGCAUGGAAAUGAUUUUUGAAAUGUCAAAAAGUCCGAACAAAAAUUAUAUAUGUUCAUAGUCCAUCCAGAUGCUAUCUAUAAAUUUUUAGGUAAAAAGGUUAGGCACAUUUUGGUCGGUGCAAAAGAAAAUCAAACACCAAAUGUUACACCUAAAUUCACCCUUAAUUUUUUCUCGCACUGCUCCGUUUCCCAUGAAAAUUGUGAAGCAUACUUGCGACAAUAACAUAAACAUCUAUWAAAAAUAUUACUAUUUUAAAUAUUUACUAUUUUUUAUUACUGUUUAUGCAGGAGCAUGUGCACCGAGAGCCAAAAUGCCUCUUUAUGUUUCUCCUAUUUUAAGCUUUGAGUAAAAUUUACACGUGGUCACUCUACUUGUCUCGCUGAUUCACUUUGGUUCAUGUACUCAAGAACUUAGUCAGUAUGAUCACUAUAUAUCCAUCUUGAUGAUUAUACGGUCAUCAUCUAAACGUACAGCUUCGUAUUUUCUCUAUGUUGACCGGUCAACUCCCCACCCCCAUUCGAUGACAAAAAAAAAAUUAACUCCCCACCCAUCUGGGUCCACUUGUCAGUGAAUAGAGAAAAGAAUAAAGAGAAGGAUAAAUUCCUGGGAAAGUGGGGAUUUGAACCAGAGACUGCACCGCCAGAUUCACUCGCGCUAACCGGCUGCGCACGACAUGCUUUUUUCUUUUCUACUGAGCAAUCUCUUUUAUUUCAACUAGCAAAAGAGCUCGCGCGUUGCAACGGGAGAAAAACAAUUAAAUCUUCAAUGAUGCUGAUCAUGUUAUGUCUUUAAAUUUUAAGACAUUUUUGUAAAUGCAUGAACUUUUUUGAAUUAGCAAACAUUUUUUUCAAUUGCACUCAAAAAAUAAUACACAGUUUUUUUUUGAAAAUCAUGAACUUUUAUUGUUUUCACCAAGAUUUUUCUCAAAAUUAUGAACAUUUUUCUGAAUAUGCAAAUAUUUUUACAAAAACUCCGAGCAUUUUUUGAAUUCACAAACAUUUUAUGUUUUCUUCAAACUUCUAUUUCAAAAUUCUCAGUUUUAUAAAUUGCAAAAAAAAUUCAAAGUUCUAAAUUAUUUAAAUUAAAAAAUUGGAACGGAAAAUUAAAAAAAAAGAGACUAAAAACAGAGGCACAAACUGUUUUCAAGAUUUUUACACGGACUUUUGUUUAAAAUCAUUGAAUUAUAUAUUUUAUGGACAUUUUCUCAAAAUUUAAACAUUUUUUUGUAUAUGCAAACAUUUUUCAAAACUCCUGAGUUGUUUUUGAAUUCUUAAAAAAAUUAUGUUUUUUUAGAAUAUUUUCUUUCGWAAUUAUCAGUUUCUUAAAAUUUAGAAAAUUAUUUGAAGUUCUAAAUUAUUUAAAGUACUAAAACAAAUNNNNNNNNNNNNNNNNNNNNNNNNNNNNNNNNNNNNNNNNNNNNNNNNNNNNNNNNNNNNNNNNNNNNNNNNNNNNNNNNNNNNNNNNNNNNNNNNNNNNUAAUAUUAUUUACUAUUCCUUGAUUAUAUCCAUGUAUGACAAAUAAAUAAUAGUUCAACCCUUUUCCUAAUAAAAAUAGUUUAGAAACACUUCUAUACAAAAUCCAAAGAAAAUAAAUACCAACAUCCAUGAUUGUAUUAUAAAUUAGAAGAAAAACAUUUAAAAAAGACUCAUAUGAACCGUCCCAUUUCCCAUGAACAGAGACGACAAACUCCCUUGUGUGAUUUGUUUUCUUCAAGGUGAAAAUACUCUAUCAAGAAAACUAUUUGGCACAUUUUAUCACUUCCUAUACAAUUUGCAGUAUAACAUGAAAACCAACAAAACUAAAAUAAAUUAAAAAAAAMMAAGGAAAGAAAAAAAGAAAUAUCCAAAGUAAAAUAUAAAAUUAUGCAAGACUAAUAGAUCAGAGACACCAUGCGUAUAUAAAUCAUGCAAAGAAGAAGAAUUUAUUUUACACAGGUCCUUCACAUAGAAAACUUGAGCCACAUCAUUGUCCACGACGAAUGGUUCGUCUAUAUACCCAAGAUUGUUGAGAUCUACUAUUGUCAUUCCGUACUGCGGGUCUACCUUUACCCUGUCUCCUGUCAGUAUUCGACCCCUAUUUUCGACCAACCCGGAAAACGAAAACGGGGUAACCCGUUUAAAAACGGUAAACCUUUACCCUAAGUUAACGGUUAGGUAAACGGUUUACCAANNNNNNNNNNNNNNNNNNNNNNNNNNNNNNNNNNNNNNNNNNNNNNNNNNNNNNNNNNNNNNNNNNNNNNNNNNNNNNNNNNNNNNNNNNNNNNNNNNNNUUGGGAAGUAGUAGUAGGGGGGUUAGGGUCGUAAGACAAAAAGAAAGAAAGGAAUAAGUACUACAUUAACUAAGGUACAUAUCAAUGAUUGUGGAGAUGCUCAUCAAUAGAUAUUAAUAGUGAAUGAAUAGGGAUUGCCAUACAAUUGAUGCACUAGAGCUAUGAGUAUGUGAAAGACUCUUAAAGAAAACUAGUGGGUGUGCAUCCAACUUGCUUGCUCACGAAGACCUAAGGCAAUUGUGAGGAAGCCUAUCAUUGGAAUAUACAAGCCAAUUUAUAUAAUGAAAAUUUCCCACUAGCUAUACGGUGGUGACAAAAUGAGAGACUCGCAAUCAUGAAGAUCAUGGUGCUUAAUAUGCACAAGUGUAGGAAAAAGUGGUAGCAUUGUCCUUCUCUCUUCUUCUCUCUAUUUUUAUUGGUGGUCUUCGUUUCGGUCCUUCUUUUUUGUCGGUACUUUCGUUUCGGUCCUUUCUUUUUACUUUCCUUCUACUAUUGGGACUAAUGUCCUUCCUAUUAAUGUAUGNNNNNNNNNNNNNNNNNNNNNNNNNNNNNNNNNNNNNNNNNNNNNNNNNNNNNNNNNNNNNNNNNNNNNNNNNNNNNNNNNNNNNNNNNNNNNNNNNNNNUUCAUCCAAACUUGUUUUUUUAUUUUAACGUAAACAACGCUUGUCACUGAUUUGUCAUGAAAAUUAGUCUAAGCAUGUUUACGACACUAACACUAGAAUCCACAAAAAAUAAGAUUUUUUUUAAAACUAAUUUGCUUUUUCGCGUUAUUGUUCAACCGCAGCAUGUUCUCCCAGGAGCUAAAACACCACUCCUCCGAUGAAGGCACUACAUAUGCACAAAGACGGCUAGCCUAUGGGCCCAGCCUCUAUACCGUGUUAAAAAAGAUGGCUACAAACUCUCUUCGUGGCUCUAGAGCACCAAUCUCAAGUGCACACGCUGCAAUGCUAAUAACGUGACAACCUUACUACCACAUUACCUCUUUAUGUAGUACCAGAAACACAUCAUCUUCACAACUCGAAUACGAAUUCGUUUUAGGUAAUCUCUAAGUUUGGGGUUAGUUUAGUAAGUAAAAUUCCUUAAUUUUAACUUUUAACCUAUCCUAUUAGUUAGUUUGGUUUGGUCUAUUCUUUAAGUUUGGUUUAGUUUUAGUAAGUAAAGGUAAUUUACGUAAGUUUUAACGUACUUAACUUACCUAAGUAACGUAACGGGUAAACUAACGUUUACGUACCCGUUAGGGUAACUUAAAGGUAAACGUUAGGNNNNNNNNNNNNNNNNNNNNNNNNNNNNNNNNNNNNNNNNNNNNNNNNNNNNNNNNNNNNNNNNNNNNNNNNNNNNNNNNNNNNNNNNNNNNNNNNNNNNGUAGACAACAAAAUAGACAUGAUCAACAUGCUACAUUCAUUAGUUUGGUCUAGUCCAUCACAUGAUUCCUAAUGAUGUGAUCCCAUUAUCAAGUAACGACACUUGCCUAUGGUCACGAAACCUUGACCAUCUUUGAUCAAUGAGCUAGUCAACUAGAGGCUUACUAGGGACAGUGUUUUGUCUAUGUAUCCACACAAGUAUUGUGUUUCCAAUCAAUACAAUUAUAGCAUGGAUAAUAAAUGAUUAUCAUGAACAAAGAAAUAUAAUAAUAACUAAUUUAUUAUUGCUUGUAGGGCAUAUUUCCAACAGUCUCCCACUUGCACUAGAGUCAAUAAUCUAGUUCACAUCACCAUGUGAUUCUAACGAAUCCAACACCCAUAUAGUUCUGGGGUCUGAUCACGUCUUGCUUGUGAGAGAGGUUUUAGUCAAUGGUUCUAAAACUUUCAGAUCCGUGUGUUCUUUACAAAUCUUUAUGUCAUCUUAUAGAUGCUGCUACUACGUGCUAUUCGGAAAUACUCCAAAUAUCUACUCUACUAUACGAAUCCGUUUCACUACUCAUAGUUAUUCGGAUCAGUGUCAAAGCUUGCAUCAACGUACCCUUACGACGAACUCUUAACCACCUCCAUAAUCGAGAAAAUUCCUUAGUCCAUAAGUUACUAAGGAUAACUUUGACCGUGUUCAGUGAUUCAAUCCUGGAUCACUCUCUGUACCUCUUAACNNNNNNNNNNNNNNNNNNNNNNNNNNNNNNNNNNNNNNNNNNNNNNNNNNNNNNNNNNNNNNNNNNNNNNNNNNNNNNNNNNNNNNNNNNNNNNNNNNNNGUCCAACGACGUACCGCCGUCGUGGGCUGCGACUCCGUUGCGUGCCGACGAGGCUCCCGGACCUCCUACCCUCGUCGCCGCCSGSCGGACAACGUAGCACCUACUACCUACGUACUACGGCGACGGCUCCGCCGACGAGCGGCCUCCUCUCCACCGAGACCUUCACCUUCGCCGACAACGCCCGCGGCAAGCGGACGACGCGCGUGCCCAACGUCAACUUCGGCUGCGGCACGACCUUCGUCGGCUCCUUCAUCGGGGACGGCCUCGUCGGCCUCGGCAACAGCAACCUGUCCCUCGUCACGCAGCUCGGCGCGCACGCCUCGGUCGGCCGGAGGUUCUCCUACUGCCUCGUGCCCUACUCCAUCAACGCCUCCUCCGCUCUCAACUUCGGCGCCCGCGCCGCCGUGACGGAGCCGGGAGCGGCCACGACGCCGCUGGUCCCGUCCAGGGUGAAGACCUACUACACCAUCGACCUCGUGUCCGUCAAGGUCGGCCACGCGACCUACAAGGCGCCGCACCGGUCGUCCCCCGCCAUCGUCGACUCCGGCACAACGCUGACGUUCCUCGACAAGGCGCUGCUAGACCCACUGGUGAAGGAGCUGGCCGGGCGGAUCAAGCUCCCGAAGGCCGCGCCGCGGGCGGACCUCGGCCUGCCGCUGUGCUACAACGUGAGCGGGCUACGGGGRGGGCAGRAUCGGCGGCGAAGACUCCCKUGACGUGAGCGUGGGCUGGGCGGCGGCGCGGCNNNNNNNNNNNNNNNNNNNNNNNNNNNNNNNNNNNNNNNNNNNNNNNNNNNNNNNNNNNNNNNNNNNNNNNNNNNNNNNNNNNNNNNNNNNNNNNNNNNNGGUGAGGAGCGUUCAGGAGGCUGCGCAGGGGACAGACCCCAUGCUCGGCGAGGAGGUGCGCCGCCGGGCCUCGCUCCAAGCCGCGAGGUACUAGCAGGCCUUAUGGCGCUAUCACUGCCGCAACAUCCACUACAGGACCGUUGAAGUCAGUGACCUCGUCCUGAGGCGGGUUCAGUCCAGGGAGGGCUUGCAUAAGCUCUCGCCCAUGUGGGAGUGCCCGUUCAAGGUCGCCCAUGUCUCCGGUAUUAGCGCCGUGCACCUGGGGACUCACGAGGGUGUUCCCAUCUAGAAUGCUUCAAACAUCCAACUUCUCCGGAUGUUCCACCCGCAAUGCCUCUGCCCUGCCUCUGCAUCGUCCUACAAUUCUUUUGGAACCUACUUCAUCUCGUGACACUCUCACAUAAUAAAGAGCUGCGGCUAUAUAUGCCUGGCCGCCCGUCCGGAGGGACCGGGGGACGGGGUCCCCCUCCCGACCGGUCCCUAGGUCGGCCACUCCCCUGCCACGUCCGGCGGUCGGGGAGAACGGACGGAGGCAAGUCCAACUCGACGUCCGACCAAGUCGACUAUCGCCCGACAACGUGGACAAGCAAANNNNNNNNNNNNNNNNNNNNNNNNNNNNNNNNNNNNNNNNNNNNNNNNNNNNNNNNNNNNNNNNNNNNNNNNNNNNNNNNNNNNNNNNNNNNNNNNNNNNAAAAAAUCAGGGGAGCCUCGAAAAAACUUUUCCGCCGCCGCAAGCUUCCAUUUCCGCAAGAUCUCAUCUGGAGACCCUUCCCAGCGCCCUGCCGGAGGGGACUUUGGAGUUGGAGGGCUUCUUCAUCAUCAUCAUCGCCCCUCCAAUGACUCGUGAGUAGUUCACUUCAGACCUACGGGUCCGUAGUUAGUAUCUAGAUGGCUUCUUCUCUCUCUUGGAUCUUCAAUACAAAGUUCUCCAUGAUCUUCAUGGAGAUCUAUCCAAUGUAAUCUUCUUUGGUGGUGUGUUUGUCGAGAUCCGAUGAAUUGUGGAUUUGUGAUCAGAUUAUCUAUGAUAUAUAUUUGAGUCUUUGCUGAUUUCUUAUAUGCAUGAUUUGAUAUCCUUGUAAGUCUCUCCGAGUUCUUGGGKUUUGUUGGCCAACUAGAUCUAUGAUUCUUGCAAUGGGAGAAGUGCUUGGGUUUGGGUUCUGCCAUGUGGUGACCUUUCCAAUGACAGGUAGGGCACGUCAAGGCACGACANNNNNNNNNNNNNNNNNNNNNNNNNNNNNNNNNNNNNNNNNNNNNNNNNNNNNNNNNNNNNNNNNNNNNNNNNNNNNNNNNNNNNNNNNNNNNNNNNNNNAUUUUUUUCAAAAACAACUUCGAUGUUAGAUGAAGCAACCUUAGUGCUAAACAGAAGCAACUUUGAUGCUAGAUGAAUUGCAUUGUGUGUAUACACAUGAGUUGCUUGUUGAAUGCAUUGGAGUUGCGCAAGAACACACUAAAAGUUGCUUAACUUUUUUGUGAUACUCGAAUGCAAUUAUGGCAACUAUUUACAAAAAGCAGGCAACUGGACAUCAAUGGUAGGCAACUGAACAUCAACCGUAGGCAAUUGAUUAUCAAUAAUAGGACAACUAAGCAUCAAAAUUGAACAAUUUCAUAGUAUUUUGUAGGCAACUGAGCAUCAAAAUUAAGCAAUUUCACAAUAUUUGUAGGCAACUUAGCAUCAAUCAUAGGCAACUUAGCAUCAUUGUUUAAUUAUGUAAAGCUUAUAGAGGUGAAUCUAGUCAAAUGUUAGUCACGUACGUAACCUAGUAAGAAAGUACUUCGUCGUACUUAAGUAGUAUUACGUACUAACGUAAACCGGGGGGUAAAAGGGGGGGAAAGGUUAGGUUCGUCGUUCCGUACCUUAAGUACGAACUUAAAAAGNNNNNNNNNNNNNNNNNNNNNNNNNNNNNNNNNNNNNNNNNNNNNNNNNNNNNNNNNNNNNNNNNNNNNNNNNNNNNNNNNNNNNNNNNNNNNNNNNNNNGUUCUCGUAUGUAAGUUUUAGUUUAUUAUGUUAAGAUAGUCUUUGUACUUUCGGUUGAACUUUUAUUAACUAAGUUACUUAUUAACAAGAAUACUGUAUACCUUUUUAGUAACUAAAAAAAAGAAAAAUAAAAAAGUUUUACUAUAGUUUUCUUAAUUAAAAUUAAGUAGAAAAUACAUGAACUGCUUCAAUAACUAGUACUCUUACUGUAAACAAAUAUAAGAUGUUUUAGGUUCAGUAUAAAGACCUCAUUUGUUUCCAUGGAGUCCUGAAAUAGCAGCAGAACCCAACAUCACCACUUUCCUGUACCUCCCAGUGAAAGCAGCAACCAAUUACCAUACAAGUCAUUUAAGCAUGAAGGCUUACAGUCAAUGUCAAUAUCCCUAGAGAGGCACUUGUAAUAUCCCAAAGCAUAUCUUGCGAGAGGGCAUAGGAAGAGCAGCUGUUCUAGAGCUUCAUGCUCAUCACAAAACUCACNCUUAAAACGUUACCGUAAACCGUUUACCGUAACGUUUACCCGUAACGUUACCCGUUACCGUUUACGGGUACCCGUAACGGUAAACGUUACGGUACCGUAAACGUUUUACCGGGUACCGUUAACCGGUAACCCGUAAACGUACGUACGGUAAACCGUUAACGGGGUAACGUUACGGUAACGUACGGUAACGUUUACCGUACGGUACNNNNNNNNNNNNNNNNNNNNNNNNNNNNNNNNNNNNNNNNNNNNNNNNNNNNNNNNNNNNNNNNNNNNNNNNNNNNNNNNNNNNNNNNNNNNNNNNNNNNACGCCACGUAUGUGAGUUUAGUAUAGUUUCAGUGGUAAGCAUCCCUAUGCUAAUCAUAUCAACUAUAUGAUUCAUGAUCGACCUUUCGGUCUCAUGNGUUUCGAGGCCAUGUCUGCACAUGCUAGGCUCGUCAAGCUUAACCCGAGUGUUCCGCGUGUGCAACUGUUUUGCACCCAUUGUAUGUGAACGUGGAGUCUAUCACACCCGAUCAUCGCGUGGUGUCUCGAAACGACGAACUGUAGCAACGGUGCACAGUCGGGGAGAACACAAUUUCGUCUUGAAAUUUUAGUGAGAGAUCACCUCAUAAUGCUACCGUUGUUUUAAGCAAAAUAAGGUGCAAUAAAAGGAUUAACAUCACAUGCAAUUCAUAAGUGACAUGAUAUAGCCAUCAUCAUGUGCUUCUUGAUCUCCAUCACCAAAGCACCGGCAGUGAUUCCUUUCUUUGUCAGUCCGGCCSCACACCAUGAUCUCCAUCAACGUGUCGCCAGUCGGGGUUNUCGUGCUACUCAUGCUAUUACUAACUAAGCUACAUCCUAGACUAAUAUAAGUAAACGCUAUAUCGACAAGUACCAAACGUUAAACGUUUAAGGUUAAACACCCUAACCUUAGUUCGCCUUCCGUCGGUCCGGUUNNNNNNNNNNNNNNNNNNNNNNNNNNNNNNNNNNNNNNNNNNNNNNNNNNNNNNNNNNNNNNNNNNNNNNNNNNNNNNNNNNNNNNNNNNNNNNNNNNNNCCAAGUUCCCGAGCUCGCCGCCAUGGCGUUCGCCCCUGGCCUCCCGAGCCGUUCCCCACCGGCUGCUCUGUUCCGAGGCGCCGCGCUACUGUUCCUCGCCGUCCCCGUGCGCGCCUCCAGUGCCCUGCCCGGCCUCCUCCUGCCGAGGUUGCUGUUGCCUGCCUUGGCGUUGCUCGCCUUGCCAUGUGCUGUUUUGCUGCUAUUGCAUGCUGUUGCUGUUGCCUUUGCUCGUAGCUGCCUGCUGUGGCUGUCGCCGUAGCCACCGCCGAGUUGCUGCUAUAGUUGCCAAUGUUGUCGCUAUGCACGCGGCUGUAGCAUGCCUGAGGAUGCUGCCUGCCGAGUGCUCGUCCUGUUGCUCGCCGUAUUCGCUUGCCUGCUAUCGUCUUAGUUUAGGUUGUUAGUUACGUCGUUUGGUUCGGUUUCGUCCGUUUGGUUCGUCCGUUUCGUUCGGUCCGUUCGGUCCGUUCGGUCCCCGGUUAGUUCGGUUCCGUUUGGUUUCGGUNNNNNNNNNNNNNNNNNNNNNNNNNNNNNNNNNNNNNNNNNNNNNNNNNNNNNNNNNNNNNNNNNNNNNNNNNNNNNNNNNNNNNNNNNNNNNNNNNNNNAGUCACUUACACAUGCAUUAGUUGAGUUGUUUAUAUUCUGGACAGAAUCUCAUGUUAAUUUAUCUUGACAUGCAUGAACAUGGCAUAAUCAUACUCAUCACGAGAAAACGAUGACAAAAACAUUUGAAGAACAUCGUCAAUAGAGUAUCGGAUCAACCGGAAACUAUAAAACAAGUUACGAAGGCCUACGUGUUCAAAACAUCCACAAACACAAUUAUAUGGGCACUCAAAACCAUCAACCAUAGCUCACACAAAACCAUCAACCAUAGCUCACACAAGCACCAAAUGCACAAGCACCAAAAUACAAGUGACAUGGUGUUGGAUAACACACAAAACCAUCAACCAUAGCUCACACAAGCUCAAAAGCCAAUUUGACACCAAUCUGUUUACAACAGCAACAUAGCUACUUUGAUCACAAGAUGUAUAGCAGCUACAACCCUACUAAAUAAUWCAAACAAGACAAUUAAACUAGAAACCAUCCAACUUCAUUACCAACCUAUAACGAAGUAGACGAAAGCRAMGGGCCACAACAUACGAAUAGUAUUUANNNNNNNNNNNNNNNNNNNNNNNNNNNNNNNNNNNNNNNNNNNNNNNNNNNNNNNNNNNNNNNNNNNNNNNNNNNNNNNNNNNNNNNNNNNNNNNNNNNNAGGCUUGUGUGUGAUGUUGUAUUACCGAGUGGGCCCCGAGAUACCUCUCCGUCACACGGAGUGACAAAUCCCAGUCUUGAUCCAUACUAACUCAACGAACACCUUCGGAGAUACAUGUAGAGCACCUUUAUAGUCACCCAGUUACGUUGUGACAUUUGGUACACACAAGGCAUUCCUUUGGUGCCAGUGAGUUAUAUGAUCUCAUGGUCAUAGGAAUAAAUACUUGACACGCAGAAAAACUAGUAGCAACAAAAUGACAUGAUCAACAUGCUACAUUCAUUAGUUUGGGUCUAGUCCAUCACAUGAUUCUCCUAAUGAUGUGAUCCCAUUAUCAAGUAACGACACUUGCCUAUGGUCACGAAACCUUGACCAUCUUUGAUCAAUGAGCUAGUCAACUAGAGGCUUACUAGGGACAGUGUUUUGUCUAUGUAUCCACACAAGUAUUGUGUUUCCAAUCAAUACAAUUAUAGCAUGGAUAAUAAAUGAUUAUCAUGAACAAAGAAAUAUAAUAAUAACUAAUUUAUUAUUGCUUGUAGGGCAUAUUUCCAACAGUCUCCCACUUGCACUAGAGUCAAUAAUCUAGUUCACAUCACCAUGUGAUUCUAACGAAUCCAACACCCAUAUAGUUCUGGGGUCUGAUCACGUCUUGCUUGUGAGAGAGGUUUUAGUCAAUGGUUCUAAAACUUUCAGAUCCGUGUGUUCUUUACAAAUCUUUAUGUCAUCUUAUAGAUGCUGCUACUACGUGCUAUUCGGAAAUACUCCAAAUAUCUACUCUACUAUACGAAUCCGUUUCACUACUCAUAGUUAUUCGGAUCAGUGUCAAAGCUUGCAUCAACGUAACCCUUACGACGAACUCUUUAACCACCUCCAUAAUCGAGAAAAAUUCCUUAGUCCAUAAGUACUAAGGAUAACUUGACCGUUGUUCAGUGAUUCAAUCCUGGAUCACUCUCUGUACCUCUUAACACGACUUGUGGCAAGGCACACAGGGGAUAGGNNNNNNNNNNNNNNNNNNNNNNNNNNNNNNNNNNNNNNNNNNNNNNNNNNNNNNNNNNNNNNNNNNNNNNNNNNNNNNNNNNNNNNNNNNNNNNNNNNNNCUUUUCGGGUUAGUUCUUUUAACUUUUAGUUUACCUUCUUUUCGGUAGUUUUUUCCUUUACUACCUUAAAGGGUACGUAACAACUACUAUAGUUUUACUAAGAAUAAAAGAAGAAUACUCUACACUUUAUAAGAAGUAACUCAACAUAAAGAACACAUGAAACUAAUCAUGAUGUAUGCAAAUGUAUGCCUGUGCCAGUGUAGCAGGAUAUGCAAUGAAACUAGCGCGUCAUGUAGCGAUAAUAAGGGCAAGGCCCAACUAGCAUGCGGCUCCUCGGUCAAGGAAAAGCAUGUAUGUCAUGAAGAUCAAGUCAUGAGAUGGUGGAUGUUGCAUGGCAAUGUAUCUCGGAAAGGCUAUGGAAAUGCCUUAAUAGGUAGGUAUGGUGGCUGUUUUGAGGAAGGAUAUAAUGAGGCUUAUGAUGACAGAGCGUAUCAUGCCAAGGGUUUGGAUGCACCGGCGAAGUUUGCACCAACUCUCAAGAUGGAAGGAAGGACUAGUCGACGGUACCGGUAACGAAGGCGUACGUACGAACUAAANNNNNNNNNNNNNNNNNNNNNNNNNNNNNNNNNNNNNNNNNNNNNNNNNNNNNNNNNNNNNNNNNNNNNNNNNNNNNNNNNNNNNNNNNNNNNNNNNNNNUUGUUCUUUGGUAUGUACUUGCCCUAGAUUCGAUCGUCAGUAUCCGCAUACUUAUUUCAAUCUCGUUUACCGGUCAAGUCUCUUUACUCGUUCCGUAAUACAACGAUCCGCAACUUACACUAAGUCACAUUGCUUGCAAGGCUUGUGUAUGAUGUUCGUAUUACCGACGUGGGCCCCGAGAUACCUCUCCGUCACACGGAGUGACAAAUCCCAGUCUUGAUCCAUACUAACUCAACUAACACCUUCGGAGAUACCUGUAGAGCAUCUUUAUAGUCACCCAGUUACGUUGCGACGUUUUGAUACACNCAAAGCAUUCCUCCGGUGUCAGUGUGUUAUAUGAUCUCAUGGUCAUAGGAAUAAAUACUUGACACGCAGAAAACAGUAGCAACAAAAUGACACGAUCAACAUGCUAYGUCUAUUAGUUUGGGUCUAGUCCAUCACAUGAUUCUCCUAAUGAUGUGAUCCCGUUAUCAAGUGACAACACUUGCCUAUGGUCAGGAAACCUUGACCAUCUUUGAUCAACGAGCUAGUCAACUAGAGGCUUACUAGGGACAGUGUUUUGUCUAUGUAUCCACACAUGCACUAUGUUUCCAAUCAAUACAAUUAUAGCAUGGAUAAUAAACGAUUAUCAUGAACUAAGAAAUAUAAUAAUAACUAAUUUAUUAUUGCCUCUAGGGCAUAAUUUCCGAUAAGUCUCCCACUUGCACUAGAGUCAAUAAAUCUAGCUCACAUCACCAUGUGAUUCCAACGAAUCCAACACCCAUAUAGUUAUGGGGUCUAGAUCACGUAUUGCUCGUGAGACAGAUUUUAGCAACGGUUCUGAAACUUUCAGAUCCGUGCAUUCUUUACAAAUUCUUUAUGUCAUCUUACWGAUGCUUGCUACUAUGUNCUAGUCGAAAUCUACCAAAUNUCCUACUCUACUAUACGNNNNNNNNNNNNNNNNNNNNNNNNNNNNNNNNNNNNNNNNNNNNNNNNNNNNNNNNNNNNNNNNNNNNNNNNNNNNNNNNNNNNNNNNNNNNNNNNNNNNAUAGUCAUCCUACAUGUCACGAUCCUGUCUCGAGAAUGACCAUCUCACUCUCAUCACUAGUAAUGCAGGCUCUUUGCUAGCACAGAGAAAACACACACACAAAACCUUCUUCUGGCUCACCACUUCUUUCUCAGGUGGUCACCAUCUCAACCCAUCCACCCUCGGGCAUCAGUGGCACCCGACGUGGUUUUCGAAAAGUCUUUUGAAAUAACCUCCGUGGUACCAUCACCAUGCAUAUGCUCAUCCUACGCAUCGCACUACUAAUAAACCUAUUGKCUUUUUAUCUGCGUCGACCCUCAUAGAUGGUAGGGUCAUGCUAAAAUGCAAGUGCUAUCGAGGAACCGUCGGAAACACCAUAUCGAGGAUUUUACUGAUUCCAUCUUGAUCAUCUACAUUGGAAUGAAUAAUGAACAUGGAAUGCAUGAAAUAUUUUCUCACACAUGGUCAAAGGGCAGCUUCCCUUGGUCAGCAAAGUCUCCUAGGUCUUCGACGUUUUCGGGUCCAACUCCUUCGUCAAUCACGUGAUCUAUCAUCGUGAUAAUAAUNNNNNNNNNNNNNNNNNNNNNNNNNNNNNNNNNNNNNNNNNNNNNNNNNNNNNNNNNNNNNNNNNNNNNNNNNNNNNNNNNNNNNNNNNNNNNNNNNNNNACUUUUUGAGCAAGAAUAUUUUUUUGAAAUUAAAAUGAAAACUUAAACUACAAGAAUUUUUUGAAAUUCAAAAGAUUUAUUUGAAAGAAGACAUUUGAAAAAAGGGAAAAACAAAGAAUACUGAUAAAAGAAACAACAGAAAGAAAUCAAAAGAGAUGAAAACUAAUUGAAGUAGGCUAAAAAAAUCCAGGUCAUGUAGCAUGUUCUAUUCGUUGAAUGGGCCGGCCUAUCUCAUUCGCUACUUGACCUAUGUUUAAAUUUCUGCAACAUGCACUACAAGAAAAAAAUUAAUAAGCUGAGUGCCCGAAACACUAGACUUAUAACAGUUUACAUUGGGUUUAUAUAUAAGCCGAGUGUUUUCCCUGAUUUAUACCAUACAACUUACUAAGGACCGGCUUAUCAGGUGUAAGCUGAGAGUCACAACGAAAACACACAAUUUAUAUAUAAGCCAAGUGUUAACAGACACACGAUUUAUACAUGACGGCAUCCUGAUAGUAACGUCAAGCCAUAUGUUCGUUUAUAUAAGUUGAGUCACUUGCGCCUAUGCGAAGGGGCGAGUAUUUUCCACGGAAUGCACCAAAUAGGAAUUGUCUAGAUAGGAGUAUGGGCUGCCGAAAUAGCAGCCCAUAAGUGGGCAUAAUAAAAGCACAGGACCACAACUCUCGUUAUAGCUAGACUUUAAAACUUCUCAUUAUUAUACUACCAUAGAGGAAUAACUCAGAGUAACAUAAGGUUAACUACAAUUAAAUUUGUUUAUGUGUACUAAUUAUUAAUAAGAAAAUAUAAAUUAAUAAUAUANNNNNNNNNNNNNNNNNNNNNNNNNNNNNNNNNNNNNNNNNNNNNNNNNNNNNNNNNNNNNNNNNNNNNNNNNNNNNNNNNNNNNNNNNNNNNNNNNNNNAUACAAAAGGUAAAAAGGAAAAAUUGUAAAAAUCAAAAGGACUGUGAAUUCAAAAUUGUUCAUGGAUUUUGAAAAAAAGUUACAACAAACUGAAAAAAGUUCAUGAGUUUGCAAAAAGUUCGUUGAUUUUGUAAAAAAAGUACAUCAUUGUUUUAGAGUACACUGGUUUUGAAAAAAUAGUUCAUCGAUUUUGAAGAAAAUGUUUAUGAUUUUUAAAAAAUACGUGGGUUUUUGGGAAAGUUGCUUAAGUUGGUCAAAAAAUCAUGAAUGUUGAUAUUUGUUUCUAUAAAGUUGGUCAAAAUUUACGGAGUUUGACUUCAGACAAAUCUUAUAUGGAGAGUACAAAGGACCGGAGGGAGUACAUGCACAUUAUUGCUCCUAUGUUUUCUCUUAUUGUUUUUUGUGAGGAUCUUAUGUUUUCUCUUCUCCAACGAAGUUAUGCCCAACCGUUAUUGAGUCUUGGCGGGUGUAUGUGGUUCUCUUUGUGUCCUUAACUAAAUUGCCUAUUAUUCUUUUCAUCUUAAAUUUAUUGCUGUUUUGCUGUAGAAUUCAAUACUACUUUCUCAAUGUACAAUAUAUUAGGNNNNNNNNNNNNNNNNNNNNNNNNNNNNNNNNNNNNNNNNNNNNNNNNNNNNNNNNNNNNNNNNNNNNNNNNNNNNNNNNNNNNNNNNNNNNNNNNNNNNUGAUGAAUAUGAUAUUUGUCGACAAUAAUUGAAAGUGGGAUUGGAGAAGUCAUGACUUUAUUUGUAUGACAAUUACCACUAUUUUUGUAAGAGCGUCAACUUUGUCAUGCAUGUGGAUCAUGAAAAUAAUAUCCUAUGGGAUAGCUAUAUUGUUGAAUUUGAAAAUGAUCCCACGUGUAAUUGCUAUGAGAGAGGAAAAUAUUUUGGUAGAAACUUUUAUGUUACCAAAUCACCUCUCGUGAUGUUGAGAUUGCUCUUGUCUCUUUCUUCUUCCUUGCAUAUGGCAGCUAUUGGUUGUCUUGACAAUUUGUUUUCCUAUAAAAUGCCUAUGCAUAGGAAGUAUGUUAGACUUAGAUGUGAUUUUCACAUGCUUUAGGAUUCUCUCGUUGUGCUUCAAUUCUUGUCUUUUGUGAGAGCAUCAUUCAAUGCCUAACUAAGGGCGUUAAACAAAAAGCGCUUGUUGGGAGGCAACCCAACGAAUCUAUCAUUUUUCUUUCUGUUUUGUGUUUUUCACACUUUCAUAAUUCUGUUAUGAUUGUGUUUUUGUGUUUCUUUUUGCGUUUGUGCCAAGAAAAACCGUUACGAUUAGUCUUGGGGAUGAUCGUUUGGUCAUGCUGGAAAAGACAGAAACUUUCUACUCACGAAAAGAAUUUUCAUUUUUUUUCUGUAAGAGCUUUUGAGUUGAUUAUUUUUGCUUCUAAUUGCUACGUAAAUUCUUGAGACUGUCAUAAUUUUUCAGAAGUUUUGAAGUACCAGAGGUAUACGAAAUAUACAGAUCUCUACAGACUGGUCUGCUGUUAACAGAUUCUGUUUUUUGUUGUGUUGGUUGCUUAUUUUGAUGAAACUAUGGAUAGUAUCGGGGAUAUUAGCCAUGGAAGAUUGAAAGUACAGUAACCCAACAUCAGCAUAAGUAGAAUUUAAGUUUGCUACAGUACCUAAGGAAGUGGUGGUUUGCUUUCUUGUACUAAUGUUACCACGAGUUUCUGUUUAAGUUUCGUGUUGUUGAAGUUUUCAGUUUUGGGUGUAAGUUCUUAUNNNNNNNNNNNNNNNNNNNNNNNNNNNNNNNNNNNNNNNNNNNNNNNNNNNNNNNNNNNNNNNNNNNNNNNNNNNNNNNNNNNNNNNNNNNNNNNNNNNNACGUCCACGUUCCAUUUAAGUAUGGUGAGUAUGGUGGUUGCUGGCUAUAUGUUGUUGUCAUGUCAUCUAUAACCAAGCAUAUAGCUGACAAGUAGAAGAGUGAUAUAUAAAUAUGUACUAUUAUAUUGAUCUAUGGCACACCUCACUCUCUCACAUUGUCUCUUGGAGCAUGUGUUGCAAUUGGUUAUUAAUCUAUAGCUUGUUUCUCUUCUUCCUCCUCCAACUCAGCCAAAAAAUAAUAUUUAAUGUCUUACAACCUACCUACAUCAUCUUAUUGUAUUUCCUCUAAUAAUAGACAUACGCUUGAACAAACUUCCAACUAUUGCUUAUCUACAUCUCUAAUUAAGUGGUUGACUAAUUAAUUAAUUGCACUAAUGGCUUGAUUUCAUAAUUGAUUUGGCACACAAAAAUCCCUAUUUAAAUGGAUAUAAUUAAUUACAGCCGUAAUUAAUUGUUUGAUUAAUUAAUUAUAUUAAUGGCUUGAUUUUCAAAUUGAUUUGAUGCUUGGGUUUCAAAUUGUUUUUCCAUUAAUGACUAGAUACCAAUGAAACGGCACACAUACUCCUCUAUUGUUUUUUCUUUUGCUUUUGCAUUAGGGAAAUGUAGUGUUUUUUGUGCGUGUGAGAAUGUGGGAGUUGAUGCUAUUUUUUCGGUAGGGGGAUCGAAAGGGAGGGAUGUUGGAUGUACCACAUACAAUCCCAACUCCCUUUUAAUAUUAGAGAUAUGGUUAGGAAAAUUUUCUUACUACUUCCUCCAUUCCUUUAUGUAAGGUGUAUAAUUUUUGACACGGUGAUCAAGGCACAUAAGUAUAGAGUGUAGAAAAUNCGUGCGAUUAUGAUAGUGGCAGUAAUCAAUGAGUCUAGGAAAUAAAAGAUACACGCAAUCGAGAGAAAGAUUGGCUUUCUUUUUAACACAAGUGGCGUNNNNNNNNNNNNNNNNNNNNNNNNNNNNNNNNNNNNNNNNNNNNNNNNNNNNNNNNNNNNNNNNNNNNNNNNNNNNNNNNNNNNNNNNNNNNNNNNNNNNAUUAUUAUACUACCCAUAGAGGAAAUAACUUCAGGAGUAACAUAAGGUUUAACUCAAUAAAUUUGUUUAUGUGACAAUUAUUUAAUAAGGAAAAUAUAAAUUAAAUAAUAUGACUAGUUAUUCACACUAUGAGUAACAUCACACGUGUGAAGACAAAGUGAGUCUAUAAUAUAAAAUUUAAUGAAUGAAGUGUUACAUGACACCACAUAUGUUACUCUAUACAUAUGUUUCAUCGACAAAAAAAAAAAGAAUAACAUAUGCAUGUUAAUGGUCGAAGUUAUUCCACACUGACCAGUCUUAACGGUUCGUCCUCCAGAAAAUGAAGUUUAGUUUGCAAGCAUAGCAAAUCCUUGCAAAAACUGAGCUGAAAUGGAUUCAUCAAUUUUACAAGCUAAACUUGUCACCCUGGGCCAACAUAUGCUAUCAURCRWRSCGUUCCCAAUUACCAUGCUUCGCCGCUGCCCUCCUUCACUGGUUAAGCCGCUGCAUUAUUCUUAUACUCCCUUCGUUCCUAAAUAUAAAUCUUUUAAACGAUUUUACUAAGGGUCUACAUACGAAANNNNNNNNNNNNNNNNNNNNNNNNNNNNNNNNNNNNNNNNNNNNNNNNNNNNNNNNNNNNNNNNNNNNNNNNNNNNNNNNNNNNNNNNNNNNNNNNNNNNUAUUUUUCUAUUUCCUUUUCUAACACAAUGUCAAUUUUUUCUACACACAAUGACCUUUUAAUAUACAUAAAGAGCAUUUUUUAAACAUUUUUAAAAUACACGAUCUAUAAUUUUACAAAUAUAUUCAUUUCUUGUAUACAACAAUAACAUUUUUCAUACAUGAUUAUUAAAUUUUACAUACGUGAUUAACAUUUUUUUUAAUAUAUUUUUUCUAAGUAUUUUUUUAUGUAGGUUCUAAAUUUUGUGUAUACAUAUGAAACAUUAAUUGUAUACAUGUUUCACAUUUUUCAACUACAUGACAAACCUUUUUUCAGAAUGUAUAUUUUUGUUGUCUACAUUUGACACAUACAUUGUACUAUUUUCUUCAUAUACAUGAGUAACAUGAUUUAAACAUGUUUAAUUAAUUUUUUACAAAUAAUAGUUUCGUUGUUUUAUUUUYUCAUACACAAUGUACUAUUUUUAUAUACAUAAUAAAACUWUUAUUUAAUAUUCUAUUUAACAUAUUCCANNNNNNNNNNNNNNNNNNNNNNNNNNNNNNNNNNNNNNNNNNNNNNNNNNNNNNNNNNNNNNNNNNNNNNNNNNNNNNNNNNNNNNNNNNNNNNNNNNNNACCUUUCUCUUUCAUAGAUCUUCUUUCUUAUUGCAUAUCUUCACCACGGAGGAAUAGAAUACCUCUCUUCUUUUGAAUAGGUUCCGGAGGUGGUUCAGGGAGUGUCCAAUCAUCGACAUUUKKCAAUAUGUUAUUCAAUAAUUCUUCAUCUUGUCCGAAAGUUCUUUACCUUGAAAACACAACCAGCACAACUAUCUAGGAAAUCCCUAGAGGCAUCGGUUAUACCAUUAUAAAACAUAUCUAAGAAUUUCAUUUUYYUAAGAGAAUGAUCAGUCAAAGCUCUAAGUAACUGGAUAAGCCUCCCCCAAGCUUGAGGGAGAUUCUCUUCUUCAAUUUGCACAAAAUUAAAUAUUUCCUGUAAGGCAGGUUGUUUCUUAUGAGCAGGAAAAUAUUUUGCAGAAAAAUAAUAAAAGCAUAUCAUGGGGACUACGCAUACAACCAGGAGCCGGACAAAGGAACCAUUCCCUGACCUCGCCUUUUAGMKACGWRRSGWAAAAAGCUUAAGGAUAUAANNNNNNNNNNNNNNNNNNNNNNNNNNNNNNNNNNNNNNNNNNNNNNNNNNNNNNNNNNNNNNNNNNNNNNNNNNNNNNNNNNNNNNNNNNNNNNNNNNNNUAGGGCGAAUUCUUCUUGCUACUUCUCUUGUUUUGCGUCGGGUUUUCCCUUGAAGAUGACAGGGUGAUGCAGCACAGGAGCAGUAAGUAUUUCCCUCAGUUUGAGAACCAAGGUAUUGAUCCAGAAGGAGGGUCUCGUCAAGUCCAGAGUACCUGUGCAAACACAAACAAGCUUGCACCCAACGCUUCAAAGAGGUUGUCAAUCCCUUCAAGAUUGUUUGCAAAGUGAGAUCUGAAGGCGGAAAGUGCAACGAAGUAAAAAAGUGUAAGGCUGAAAAUAUGGUGUGGAGUAGUCCCGGGGGCCAUAGUGUUCACUAGAGGCUUCUCUCAAAAUAGCAAAUAUCACGGUGGGUGAACAAAUUACUGUCGAGCAAUUGAUAGAACCGCGCAAAGUCAUGACGAUAUCUAAGGCAAUGAUCAUACAUAUAGGCAUCACGUCCGAGACAAGUAGACCGAUACUUUCUGCAUCUACUACUAUUACUCCACACAUCGACCGCUAUCCAACAUGCAUCUAGUGUAUUGAGUUCAUGACGAACAGAGUAACGCCUUAAGCAAGAUGACAUGAUGUAGAGGGAUAUUCUCAAACCAAUGAUGAAAACCCCAUCUUUCUACCCUUGAUGGCAACAACAUGAUGCGUGCCUCGCUACCCCUUCUGUCACUGGGUGAGGUCACCGCAUGGUAUGAACCCAAAACCAAGCACUUCUCCCAUUGCAAGAAUCAUAGAUCUAGUUGGCCAAACAAAACCCACAACUCGAAGAGAAUUACAAGGAUAUGAAAUCAUGCAUAAGAGAGAUCAGAAGAAAUUCGUAUGUAACCUGAUCAUAAAUCCACAAUUCAUCGGAUCUCGACAAAUACACCGCAAAAGAAGAUUACAUCGGAUAGAUCUCCAUGAAGAUCAUGGAGAACUUUGUAUUGAAGAUCCAAGAGAGAGAAGAAGCCAUCUAGUUACUAGCUAUGGACCCGUAGGUCUAUGGUGAACUACUUACGCAUCAUCGGAGAGGUCAUGGUGUUGAUGAAUAAGCCCUCCGUGUACGAAUCCCUCCUCCGGCAGGGCACCAGAACGUGCCCCAGAUGGGAUCUUGCGAAGACAGAAGCUUGCGGCGACGGAAAAGUACUUUCAAUGAUCUCCUGAUUUUUUUGGGAUUUUUAGGGAAUAUAUAGGCGCAACCCCUAGAGCAGAGGGCGCCCAUGUUGGAAAUAUGCCCAAGAGGCAAUAAUAAAUUAGUUAUUAUUAUAUUUGUUUGUUCAUGAUAAUUGUUUAUUAUCCAUGCUAUAAUUGUAUUGAUUGGAAACACAAUACUUGUGUGGAUACAUAGGCAAAACACUGUCCCUAGUAAGCCUCUAGUUGACUAGCUCGUUGAUCAAAGAUGGUCAAGGUUUCCUGACCAUAGGCAAGUGUUGUUACUUGAUAACGGGAUCACGUCAUUAGGAGAAUCAUGUGAUGGACUAGACCCAAACUAAUGAACGUAGCAUGUUGAUCGUGUCAUUUUGUUGCUACUGUUUUUCUGCAUGUCAAGUAUUUAUUCCUAUGACCAUGAGAUCAUAUAACUCACUGGCACCGGAGGAAUGCCUUGUGUGUACCAAACGUCACAACGUAAUUGGGUGACAAUAAAGGUGCUCUACAGGUAUCUCCGAAGGUGUUUGUUGAGUUAGUAUGGAGCAAGACUGGGAUUUGUCACUCCGUGUGACAGAGAGGUAUCUUGGGGCCCACUCGGUAAUACAACAUCACGCACAAGCCUUGCAAGCAAUGUGACUUAGUGUAAGUCAUGGGAUCUUGUAUUACGGAAUGAGUAAAGAGACUUGCCAGUAAACGAGAUUGAAAUAGGUAUGCGGAUACUGACGAUCGAAUCUCGGGCAAGUAACAUACCGAAGGACAAAGGGAAUGACAUACGGGAUUAUAUGAAUCCUUGGCACCGAGGUUCAAACGAUAAGAUGUUCGUAGAAUAUGUAGGAUCCAAUAUGGGCAUCCAGGUCCCGCUAUUGGAUAUUGACCGAGGAGUCCCUCGGGUCAUGUCUACAUAGUUCUCGAACCCGCAGGGUCUGCACACUUAAGGUUCGGCGUUGUUUUAUGCGUAUUUGAGUUAUAUGGUUGGUUACCGAAUAUUGUUCGGAGUCUCGGAUGAGAUCACGGACGUCACGAGGGUUUCCGGAAUAGUCCGGAGACGAAGAUUGAUAUAUAGGAUGACCUCAUUUGAUUACCGUAAAGUUUUCGGCAUUACCGGGAAUGUACCGGGAGUGACGAAUGGUUUCCGGAUGUUCACCGGGGGGGCAGCCCACCCCGGGGAAGCUCAUAGGACUUAGGGGUGCCGCACCAGCCCUUAGUGGCUUGGUGGGAAAGCCCAAGAAGGCCCCUGCGCAGGAGAGAAAGAAAAUCAAAGAGAAAAAGGGGGGAGUGGGAAAAUAGAGAAGGACUCCACCUUCCAAUCCUAGUUGGACUAGGAUUGGAGGAGGGAUCCUCCUCCCCCCACUUCGGUCGACCCCUUGGGGAUCCUUGACCCUCAAGGCAAGGUCCCUCCCCUCCCUCCUAUAUAUACUGAGGUAUUAGGGCUGAUUUGAGACAACUUUUGCCACGACAGCCCGACCACAUACCUCCAUGGUUUUUCCUCUAGGUCGCGUUUCUGCGGAGCUCGAGCGGAGCCCUGCUGAGAUAAUAUCACCACCAACCUCCGGAGCGCCGUCACGCUGCCGGAGAACUCAUCUAACUCUUCGUCUCUCUUGCUGGAUCAAGAAGGCCGAGAUCAUCGUCGAGCUGUACGUGUGCUGAACGCGGAGGUGCCGUCCGUUCGGCACUAGAUCGGAGCGGAUCGUGGGACGGUUCGUGGGAUGGUUCGCGGGGCGGAUCGAGGGACGUGAGGACAUUCCACUACAUCAACCGCGUUUCUUAAACGCUUCUGCUUUGCGAUCUACAAGGAUACGUAGAUCGGAAAUCUCCUCUCGUAGAUGAACAUCACCAUGAUAGGUAUUGCGUAUGCGUAGGAAAUUUUUUGUUUCCCAUGUGACGUUCCCCAUCAGUGGCAUCAUGAACUAGGUUGAUGCGUAGAUGUUAUGUCGAGUAGAACACAAAAGUUUUUGUGGGUGGUGAUGUGCGAUUUGCUGCCCUCCUUAGUCUUUUCUUGAUUCCGCGGUAUAGUUGGAUCGAAGCGGCUCGGACCGACAUUACUCGUACGUUUACGAGAGACUGGUUUCAUCGCUACGAGCAACCCCGUUGCUCAAAGAUGACUGGAGAGUGUCGGUUUCUCCAACUUUAGUUGAAUCGGAUUUGACCGAGGAGGUCCUUGGAGAGAGGUUAAAUAGCAAUUCAUACAUCUCCGUUGUGGUGUUUGCGUAAGUAAGAUGCGAUCCUACUAGAUACCCAUGGCAACCACGUAAAACAUGCAACAACAAUUAGAGGACGUCUAACUUGUUUUUGCAGGGUAUGCUUGUGAUGUGAUAUGGCCAACGACGUGAUGUGAUAUAUUGGAUGUAUGUGAUGAUCAUGUUGUAAUAGUUAAUAUCGACUUGCACGUUGAUGGUACGGCAACCAGCAGGAGCCAUAGGGUUGUCUUUAAACUAACGUUUGUGCUUGCAGAUGAUACGUCCAUAUUGCAUCAUGCUUUCAUGUUGAUAUUUAUUGUUUUAUGGGCUGUUAUAUUACUUUGUGGUACCAUAUUUAUGCCUUUUCUCUCUUAUUUUGCAAGGUUUAUUUGAAGAGGGAGAAUUCAGGCAGCUGGAAUUCUGGACUGGAAAAGGAGCAAAUCUUAGUCCACUAUUCUACACAUCUCCAAAUGCCGUGAAAAGUUACGUGGAUUUUUUUGGGAUUAUAUAAAAAAAUACUGGGUGAAAGAAGUACCAGAGGGGGGCUGCCAGGGCGCCCAAGCCCUGCCACCGCCACCCCCCUGGUGGCGGAGGGCAAGCUUGUGGGCUCCCUGACGGCCCACUAUCCCCCCUCUUUUGCUAUAUGAAGGGUUUCGUUCCAGAAAAAAAUCAAUCGGGAGCUUUUUCGUGGUUUCGCCGCCGCCACGAGGCGGAACUUGAGCAGAUUCAAUCUAGAGCUCCGACAGGACGAUCCUGCCGGGGAAACUUCCCUCUCGGAGGGGGAAAUCGUCGCCAUCGUCAUCACCAACACUCCUCUCGUCGGAGGGGAGGCAUCUUCAUCAACAUCUUCAUCAGCACCAUCUCCUCUCCAAUCCCUAGUUCAUCUCUUGUAAUCAAUCUCCGUCUCAGGACUCCGAUUGGUACUUGUAAGGUUGCUAGUAGUGUUGAUUACUCUUUGUAGUUGAUGCUAGUUGGAUUACUUGGUGGAAGAGUUUAUGUUCAGAUCCUUGAUGCUAUUCAUUACACCACUGAUCAUGAUUAUGAUUAUGCUUUGUGAGUAGUUACUUUUGUUCCUGAGGACAUGGGAUAAGUCAUGCUGAUAAUAGUCAUGUGAAUUUGAUAUUCGUUCGGUAUUUUGAUAUGUUGUAUGUUGUCUUUUCUUCUAGUGGUGUUAUGUGAACGUCGACUACAUAACACUUCACCAUAUUUGGGCCUAGAGGAAGGCAUUGGGGAGUAGUAAGUAGAUGAUGGGUUGCUGGAGUGAGAGAAGCUUAAACCCCAGUCAAUGUGUUGCUUCGUAAGGGGCUGAUUUGGAUCCACUAGUUUAAUGCUAUGGUUAGACGUUGUCUUAAUUCUUCUUUUGUAGUUGUGGAUGCUUGCGAGAGAGGUUAAUCAUAAGUGGGAUGCUUGUCCAAGUAAGGGCAGUACCCAAGCGCCGGUCCACCCACAUAUCAAAUUAUCAAAGUAACGAAUGCGAAUCAUAUGAACAUGAUGAAACUAGCAUGAUAGAAAUUCCCGUGUGUCCUCGGGAGCGUUUUUCCUCCUAUAAGACUUUGUUCAGGCUUGUCCCUUGCUACAAAAGGGAUUGGGCCACUUUGCUGCACCGUUGCUACUACUUGUUACUUGUUACUUUUUGCUUGCUACGUUUCACCUCGCUACACAAUCACCUGUUACCGCUACUUUCAGUGCUUGCAGUUAUUACCUUGCUCAAAACCGUUUAUCAGAGCCUUCUGCUCCUCGUUGGGUUCGACACUCUUACUUAUCGAAAGGACUACGAUUGAUCCCCUAUACUUGUGGGUCAUCAAGACUCUUUUCUGGCGCCGUUGCCGGGGAGUGAAGCGCCUUUGGUAAGUGGAAAUUGGUAAGGAAACAUCUAUAUAUUGUGCUGAAAUUUAUUGUCACUUGUCACUAUGGAAACUGUUCCUUUGAGGAGUUUGUUCGGGGUAUCUUCACCACGAACGGAAGCACGAGGAGUUGUUCCUCAACCUGAGGUACCUACUGAAAAUAUCUUUUAUGAAAUUCCUUCGGGUAUGCUUGAGAAACUGCUGGCUAAUCCUUUCACAAGAUGGAUCUUCACAUCCACACUUGCAUCUGAUCUAUGUAGAUGAAAUUUGUGGUUUAUUUAAGCUUGCAGGUUUGCCCGAGGAUGAGGUAAAGAAGAAAGUCUUUCCUUUAUCUUUGAAGGAUAAGGCGUUGACAUGGUAUAGGCUAUGUGAUGAUACUGGAUCAUGGGGCUACAAUCGGUUGAAAUUGGAAUUUCAUCAAAAGUUCUAUCCUAUGCAUUUAGUACAUCGUGAUCGGAACUUUAUUUAUAACUGUUGGCCUCGUGAUAGGGAAAGCAUAGCUCAAGCUUGGGGGAGGCUUAAAUCAAUGCUAUAUUCAUGCCCCAAUCAUGAGCUCUUGAGAUAAAUCAUCACUCAAAACUUUUAUGCUCGGCUUUCUCAUGAAGAUCGUACCAUGCUUGACACUUCUUGUACCGGUUCUUUUAUGAAGAAGGAUAUUGAUCACAAGUGGAAUUUAUUGGAGAGAAUCAAACGCAACUCUGAAGAUUGGGAGCUAGAGGAAGGUAAGGAGUCAGGUAUGAAUUUCCAGUUUGAUUGCGUUAAAUCUUUUGUUGACACAAACACCUCUAGAGAUUUUAGCGCUAAGUAUGGACUUGACUCUGAGAUAGUAGCUUCUCUAUGUGAAUAUUUUGCUACUCAUGUUGAUCUUCCCAAAGAGAAGUGGUUUAAGUAUCAUCCUCCUGUAGAAAGCAACAUAGUCAAAACCAAUCUAGUUGAGGAGAAAGUCAUUGCUUUUAGUGAUCCUGUUGUUCCUUGUGCUUACACUGAGAAACCACCAUACCCUGCUAGGAUAAAGGAUUAUUAUAAAGCUCCAACUGUGAUACGUAGGGGUUACAUUAGACCACUUCCACCCCCUGAGGAUAUUAGAGUUGAACCUAGUGUUUCUAUUAUCAAAGAUCGUUUAGCCGAAGACGUAGACGGGCAUGUUAUCAAAUUCUGUGAGGACUCCGCUAGAAUUGCUAAACCUCACGCGAAAGACAAUUACAGACCUGUAGUUGGCCUGCCCGUUGUUUCUGUCAAGAUAGGAGAUCACUAUUACCAUGGUUUAUGUGAUAUGGGAGCUAGUGUUAGUGCAAUACCCCGUUCUCCAUAUGAUGAAAUCAAAGAUGAGAUUGCACCUGCUGAGUUAGAACCCAUUGAUGUCACUAUUACGCUAGCUAAUAGAGACACUAUCUGCCCUCUGGGAAUUGUGAGAGACGUAGAAGUCCUGUGUGGUAAGACGAAGUAUCCUACUGAUUUCCUCGUCCUUGGUAGUGCACAAGAUAGCUUUUGUCCCAUCAUAUUUUUUAGACCCUUUCUCAACACUGUCAAUGCUCACAUUGAUUGCAUUAAGCAGACUGUCACAGUUAGUUUCGAGGGUGUGUCUAAUGAAUUUAACUUCUCUAAGUUUGGAAGACAACCCCAUGAAAAAGAGUCAUCUGGAAGGGAUGAAAUUAUUGCUCUUACCUCUAUUGUCGUACCUCCUACGGAUCCCUUAGAGCAAUAUCUGCUUGAGCAUGAAAAUGAUAUGCAUAUGGAGGAGAGAGAUGAGAUAGAUAAAAUUGUCUUAGAACAAUAUUCUAUUCUCAAGAAUAAUCCGCGUGUUGAACUGCUUGGGGAUCCUCCCCCACCAAAGGGUGAUCCAGUGUUCGAGCUUAAACAGUUGCCUGAUACUCUUAAGUUUGCCUAUCUUGAUGAGAAGGAGAUAUAUCCCAUUAUUAUUAGUACUCUCCUCUCAGAGCACGAAGAGAAGAAGUUACUAAAAACUCUGAGGAAGCAUCGUGCUGCUAUUGGAUAUACUCUUGAUGAUCUUAAGGGUAUUAGUCCCACUCUAUGUCAGCACAAGAUUAAAACCGAUCCUGAUUCAAAACCAGUUGCUGAUCAUCAAAGGAGAUUAAAUCCUAAGAUGAAAGAGGUCGUUAGAAAAGAAAUAUUAAAGCUUCUGGAAGCAUGAAUCAUUUAUCCUAUUGCUCAUAGUGAUUGGGUAAGUCCAGUACAUUGCGUACCUAAGAAGGGAGGUAUCAUCGUCGUUCCUAAUGAUAAGGAUGAACUAAUCCUACAAAGGAUUAUUACUGGCUAUAGGAUGGUGAUAAACUUCCGGAAACUGAAUAAGGCAACUAGGAAAGAUCAUUAUCCUUUGUCGUUUAUCGACCAAAUGCUGGAAAGGCUAUCAAAACACACACACUUCUGCUUUCUAGACGGUUAUUCAGGUUUCUCGCAAAUACCUGUUGCACAAUCUGAUCAGGAGAAAACCACUUUCACCUGCCCCUUCGGUACCUUUGCUUAUAGACGUAUGCCUUUUGGCUUAUGCAAUGCACCUGCCACCUUUCAAAGAUUUAUGAUGGCUAUAUUCUCUGACUUUUGUGAAAAGAUUGUCGAUGUUUUCAUGGAUGACUUCUCUGUUUACGGGUAUUCCUUUGAUGAUUGCCUCAGCAACCUUGAUCGAGUCUUACAGAAAUGCGAAGAUACCAACCUCUUCUUGAAUUGGGAGAAGUGCCACUUUAUGGUUAACGAUGGUAUCGUCUUAGGACACAAAAUUUCUGAGAUAGGCGUUGAAGUUGAUAAGGCUAAGGUUGAUGCAAUUGAGAAAAUGCCUUGCCCCACAGAUAUCAGAGGUAUACAAAGUUUCCUAGGUCAUGCUGGUUUCUAUAGAAGGUUCAUUAAAGACUUCUCUAAGAUUUCUAGGCCUCUUACCAACCUCUUGCAGAAGGAUGUACCUUUUGUUUUUGUUGAGGAUUGUGAGGAAGAUUUCGAAAUACUUAAGAAGGCUUUGAUAACCGCACCUAUUGUUCGACCACCUGACUGGAACUUGCCCUUUGAAAUCAUGUGUGACGCUGGUGAUUAUGUUGUUGGUGCUAUUCCAGGACAAAGAGUUGACAAGAAGUUGAAUGUUAUUCACUAUGCUAGUAAAACUCUAGACAGUGCCCAAAGAAACUAUGCCACUACGGAGAAGGAGUUUUUAGCAGUCGUGUUUGCAUGUGAAAAGUUCAGAUCUUAUAUAGUUGACUCCAAAGUCACUAUUCACUCUGAUCAUGCUGUUAUUAAGUACCUUAUGGAGAAGAAGGACGCUAAGCCUAGGCUGAUCGGAUGGGUUCUCCUGCUACAUGAAUUUGAUUUGCACGUCGUUGACCGAAAGGGUGCUGAUAACCCUGUAGCACAUAACUUGUCUAGGCUAGAGAAUGUCCUUGACGACCCACUACCUAUUGAUGACAGCUUUCCUGAUAAGCAAUUGAAUGUCAUCCGCACUUCACAUAUAGUGCACCGUGGUAUGCCGAUUAUGCAAAUUAUAUUGUAGCCAAAUACAUACCACCCAGUUUCACCUAUCAGCAAAAGAAGAAAUUCUUGUUUGAUUUGAGACACUACUUUUGGGAUGAUCCUCACCUUUAUAAGGAAGGAGUAGAUGGUGUUAUUAGACGUUGUGUGCCUGAGCAUGAACAGGGACAGAUCUUGCAGAAGUGUCAUUCCGAAGCCUACGGAGGACACCAUGUUGGAGAUAGAACUGCCCAUAAGGUAUUGCAAUCAAGUUUCUAUUGGCCCACUCUCUUCAAGGAUGCCCGUAAGUUUGUCUUGUCUUGUGACGAAUGCCAAAGAAUAGGGAAUAUCAGUAAGCGUCAGGAAAUUCCUAUGAACUAUUCACUUGUCAUUGAACCGUUCGAUGUCUGGGGCUUUGAUUAUAUGGGACCCUUCCCGAGUUCCAAUGGGUACACUCACAUCUUAGUUGUUGUGGAUUACGUCAAUAAGUGGGUAGAAGCUAUCCCCAUUAAAAAUGCUGAUCACCACACCUCUAUUAAGAUGAUAAAGAAGUCAUUUUCCCAAGAUUUGGAGUCCCUAGAUAUUUGAUGACUGAUGGCGGUUCACACUUCAUUCAUGGUGUUUUCCUCAAGAUGCUCGCUAAGUAUGAUGUCAAUCAUAGAGUUGCAUCUCCUUAUCAUCCUUAGUCUAGUGGUCAAGUGGAGUUGAGUAAUAGGGAGAUCAAGUUGAUCCUACAAAAGACCGUCAAUAGAUCUCGAAAGAACGGGUCUAGCAAACUUGACGAUGCACUAUGGGCUUAUAGGACUGCUUAUAAGAAUCCCAUGGGUAUGUCACCGUAUAAAAUGGUUUACGGUAAGGCCUGUCAUUUACCUCUUGAGCUGGAACACAAAGCUUAUUGGGCAAUCAAAGAGCUCAACUUCGAUUUCAAACUUGCCGGUGAGAAGCGGUUGUUUGAUAUCAGCUCGUUAGAUGAAUGGAGGGCCCAGGCAUAUGAGAAUACCAAAUUGUUCAAGGAAAAGGUUAAGAGAUGACACGAUAAACGAAUACAGAAACGAGAGUUCAAUGUAGGUGAUUAUGUGCUGCUAUACAAUUCUCGUUUGAGAUUCUUUGCAGGCAAGCUUCUCUCUAAAUGGGAAGGUCCUUAUGUUAUCGAGGAAGUAUAUCGUUCCGGUGCCAUCAAAAUCAAUAACAUGGAAGGAAAUUUUCCUAGAGUGGUAAAUGGGCAAAGAAUCAAACAUUACAUCACUGGUACUCCCAUAAAUGUUGAGACCAAUAUCAUCAAUGUCAUAACUCCACAGGAGUACAUAAGGGAUGUUUAUCAGCCUGUUUCAGACCCUGAAAAUGAAGAGGUAUCUGUUUCGGUAAGAAAUUGGACUCCGACGCUUUCCCAAUAGGAAAUUUUCUCCAUUUUGGAAUUUUUGGAAAAUUAGAAAAAUAAAAAGCAGUCCGGAGAGCGCACGAGGCGGCCAUAAGCUUGGACGCCGCCACCUACCCCCUGGUGGCGGAGGGAGGGCUUGUGGGCACCUCGUGUGCCUCCCGGACUCCGUUUUCUUGCGGAGCACUCCUUCUGGUCCAGAAAAUAUCAAUAUAUAUUAGCCCGAAGGUUUUGAUCUCCGUAUAGCACAGUUUUCCUCUGUUCUCGUUUCAAGCUUGUUGUCUGCCGCAGAUUUAGAGCAAAGAUGUCUCAGGAAUCUGUUGGGGAGAAUGAUCUUCACCAAGUUCAUGAAGAAGUAGAUGUUGAUCUGAAAAUAGUAGAAGUCACGGAAGCCAGGAACGAGGCUAAGGAGAAAACCCAAGCUAGGGAGGAAGUUCAACCUACGUUCAACAUUAAAGACGUUGAAGGAGUAGAUUUUCUCCAACCCUUCCUCCACGUGUUGUCUCCACCCUUGAUUGAACUCUUGAGGUUUUGCGAAACAACUCGUGCUCGCAAUAUUUCCCUUUCUCGUGAAGUUGUUUUGCUGGAAAACCAUGUCACAGAUCUCAAAGGUAUAAAUCAAAGAUGGAUAGCUCUCUUGGAAUCAAAGGCAACAACUCCAGCACCAUCACCACCAAAGGAAGACAACUUAGCAUUGGUAUGGGCAAUCCCCUUGGCUUCUGCCAAGCUUGGGGAAGUUGCCCUGGUAUCGUAUCACCUUUUUAUCUUUUGCUUUUACCUUUGUUUUAGUUCUUUCCUUUUCAGUUUUUAUUUUCUUCUCUUAGAGGAAUAAGUCUUUAGUUUUUAGUUUGAGUCUUUUUCUUUGCUCCCCCGAUGUAUUCGAGCUUACGAGCUAUAUAAUAAAGAGUAUCUUAGUCAAGGGCUCUGCUUUGUGUCGUGAUCAAAAGUAUGAAAAGAACGAUAGCAUAAAAGAUCAUGAGACGAUCUUACGGAAAGUGAUAACUUCACAUAUGACACGUAUGAUGAUUGAAACUUGUUGAGAAUAAAUCAACAUAGACCUCAGUCAUUGUUGCAAUUAAUAAGAAGUAAUAAGGAAAGAGAGAUUCACAUAUAAAUAUAUCAUCUUAGACACUUUUUACAAUUGCAAACACUCACCAAACUAUUGCAUGCCUAGAAGUAGAUGUUGGACAAGGAAGACAACGUAAUGGAUUGUGUUUGCUUGGCUCUGAACAAUGUUCUAUGAUUAGAGAUCCCUUAGCAUGUGACGAUUGCUUCCACCUCAUGUUAGCCAAAACUCCCGCACCAAGUAGAGAUACUACUUGUGCAUCCAUAAACCUUCAACCCAGUUUUGCCAUGAGAGUCCACCAUACCUGCUUAUGGAUUGAAUAAGAUCCUUCAAGUAAGUUGUCAUCGGUGCAAGCAAUAAAAAUUGCUCUCUAAUAUGUAUGAUCUAUUAGUGUGUGGAAAAUAAGCUUUGUACGAACCUGUGAUGAGGAAGACAUAAAAGCGACAGACUGCAUAAUAAAGUUCUUUAUCACAGGAGGCAAUAUAAAGUGACGUUCCUCCGCACUAAGAGGACACGCAUUCAAACCCCAAAAGCGCAUGACAACCUCUACUUCCCUCUGCGAAGGGCCUAUCUUGUACCUUUACUUUUUGCCCUUGUCAGAGUCAUGGUGAUCUUCACCAAUUCCCUAUUCUGCCUUUGUCUUGGCUACCGUCACAUGCUUGGGAAAGAUCUAUAUUCAUAUAUCAACUUGGAGUUGAGUACUUAUGCUUUAUUAUUGUUGACUUUACCCUUGAGGUAAAUCGUUGGGAGGCAAAACUAUAAGCCCCUAUCUUCCUCUGUGUCCAGCUGAAACUUUGACACCAUGAGUACCACGUGAGUUGUAAAAAUUGUGGAAAACAAAAGAGAUGAUUGAGUAUGUGGAUUUGCCUUACAAGCUCUUAUUUGAGUCUUUCUGAUGUUGUGAUAAAUUGCAAUUGCUUCAAUUACUUUGGACUAUUGUUGGUUACUUCUCGGUAAGGUUUUUGCUUCAUGCUUUGCUUUGUGAAGGAAUUUUUACUUUCCCAUAAGAAUCUUUAUGAUGUAUUGCUAUCCUAUGUGUGAUCAUGAUGCCCUCAUGUCCAUAUUAUGUUUUAUCGACACCUUUGUCCCUCAACAUGUGGACAUGUUUAUGGAACUUGGUUUUCGCUUGAGGACAAGCGAGGUCUAAGCUUGGGGGAGUUGAUACGUCCAUUUUGCAUCAUGCUUUCAUGUUGAUAUUUAUUGAUUUAUGGGCUGUUAUAUUACUUUGUGGUACCAUAUUUAUGCCUUUUCUCUCUUAUUUUGCAAGGUUUAUUUGAAGAGGGAGAAUUCAGGCAGCUGGAAUUCUGGACUGGAAAAGGAGCAAAUCUUAGUCCACUAUUCUGCACAUCUCCAAAUGCCCUGAAAAGUUACGUGGAUUUUUUUGGGAUUAUAUAAAAAAUACUGGGCGAAAGAAGUACCAGAGGGGGCUGCCAGGGCGCCACAAGCCCUACCACUGCCACCCCCUGGUGGCGGAGGGCAAGCUUGUGGACUCCCUGACGGCCCACUAUCCCCCCUCUUUUGCUAUAUGAAGGGUUUCGUUCCAGAAAAAAUCAAUCGGGAGCUUUUUCGUGGUUUCACCGCUGCCACGAGGCGGAACUUGAGCAGAUUCAAUCUAGAGCUCCGACAGGACGAUCCUGCCGGGGAACUUCCCUCCCGGAGGGGGAAAUCGUCGCCAUCGUCAUCACCAACACUCCUCUCGACAAAGGGGAGGCAUCUUCAUCAACAUCUUCAUCAGCACCAUCUCCUCUCCAAUCCCUAGUUCAUCUCUUGUAAUCAAUCUCCGUCUCAGGACUCCGAUUGGUACUUGUAAGGUUGCUAGUAGUGUUGAUUACUCUUUGUAGUUGAUGCUAGUUGGAUUACUUGGUGGAAGAGUUUAUGUUCAGAUCCUUGAUGCUAUUCAUUACACCUCUGAUCAUGAUUAUGAUUAUGCUUUGUGAGUAGUUACUUUUGUUCCUCGGGACAUGGGAUAAGUCAUGCUGAUAAUAGUCAUGUGAAUUUGAUAUUCGUUCGGUAUUUUGAUAUGAUGUAUGUUGUCUUUUCCUCUAGUGGUGUUAUGUGAACGUCGACUACAUAACACUUCACCAUAUUUGGGCCUAGAGGAAGGCAUUGGGGAGUAGUAAGUAGAUGAUGGGUUGCUGGAGUGAGAGAAGCUUAAACCCCAGUCAAUGCGUUGCUUCGUAAGGGGCUGAUUUGGAUCCACUAGUUUAAUGCUAUGGUUAGACGUUGUCUAAAUUCUUAUUUUGUAGUUGCGGAUGAUUGCGAGAGAGGUUAAUCAUAAGUGGGAUGCUUGUCCAAGUAAGGGUAGUACCCAAGCGCCGGUCCACCCACAUAUCAAACUAUCAAAGUAACGAACGCGAAUCAUAUGAACAUGAUGAAACUAGCAUGACAGAAAUUCCCGUGUUUCCUCGGGAGCGUUUUUCCUCCUAUAAGACUUUGUUCAUGCUUGUCCCUUGCUACAAAAGGGAUUGGGCCACUUUUCUGCACUGUUGCUACUACUUGUUACUUGUUACUUUUUGCUUGCUACGUUUCACCUCGAUACACAAUCACCUGUUACCGCUACUUUCAGUGCUUGCAGUUAUUACCUUGCUGAAAACCGUUUAUCAGAGCCUUCUGCUCCUUGUUGGGUUCGACACUCUUACUUAUCGAAAGGACUACGAUUGAUCCCCUAUACUUGUGGGUCAUCAGCAGAUGCGUUUACUAUAUUGCUAGGACGUAGCUUUAGUAGUAAUAGCAUGAGUAGCACGACAACCCCGAUGGCGACACGUUGGUGGAGAUCAUGAUGAUGGAGAUCAUGGUGUGGCGCCGGUGACAAGAAGAUCGUGUCGGUGCUUUGCUGAUGGAGAUCAAGAAGCACAUGAUGAUGGCCAUAUCAUGUCACUUAUGAAUUGCAUGUGAUGUUAAUCCUUUAUGCAUCUUAUCUUGCUUAGAACGACGGUAGCAUUAUGAGGUGAUCUCUCACUAAAAUUUCAAGACGAAAUUGUGUUCUCCCCGACUGUGCACCGUUGCGACAGUUCGUCGUUUCGAGACACCACGUGAUGAUCGGGUGUGAUAGACUCAACGUUCACAUACAACGGGUGCAAAACAGUUGCACACGCGGAACACUCGGAUUAAACUUGACGAGCCUAGCAUGUGCAGACAUGGCCUCGGAACACAAGAGACCGAAAGGUCGAGCAUGAAUCGUAUAGUUGAUAUGAUUAGCAUAGAGAUGCUUACCACUGAAACUAUUCUCGACUCACAUGAUGAUCGGACUUGAGAUGGUGGAUUUGGAUCAUGUACCACUCAAAUGACUAGAGAGAUGUACUUUUUGAGUGGGAGUUCUUAAGUAAUAUGAUUAAUUGAACUAAUUAUCAUGAACAUAGUCUAAUGGUCUUUGCAAAUUACGAUGUAGCUUGCGCUAUAGCUCUACAGUUUUUUAUAUGUUCCUAGAGAAAAUUAUAGUUGAAAGUUGAUAGAGCAACUUUGCGGACUCAGUCUGUAAAACUGAGGAUUGUCCUAGUUGCUGCGCAGAAGGCUUAUUUCCUUAAUGCACCACUCGGUGUGCUGCACCUCGAGCGUCAUCUGCGGAUGCUGUGAACAUCCGACAUACACGUUUGUGAUGAAUACGCGAUAGUUCAGUGCAAAAUACUUAAUGGCUUAGAAGCAAGGCCCCGAAGACGUUUUGAAACAUCACGGAACAUAAGAGAUGUUCCAAAGAGAUGAAAUUGUAAUUUCAUGCUUGUGCCCUUGUUAAGAGGUAUGAGACCUCCGACAAGAUUCUUUGUCCACGAAGUAAAGGAUAAAGCUCAAUCAUUGAGCGUGUGCUCAGAUUGUCUGAGUACGACAAUCACUUGAAUCAAGUGGGAGUUAAUCUUCCAGAUGAGAUAGUGACGGUUCUCCAAAGUCACCACCACCAAGCUGUGAGAGCUUCGUGAUGAACUAUAACAUAUCAAGGAUAGAUACAAUGAUCCUUGAGCGAUUCGCGAUGUUUGACACUGCGAAAGUAGAAAUCAAGAUGGAGCAUCAAUAGUUGAUGGUUAGUAAAACCACUAAGUUUCAAGAAAGGCAAGGGCUAGAAGGGAUACUUCGUGAAACAGCAAAACAGUUGCUGCACUAAUGAAGAGACCCAAGAUUAAACCCAAACCCGAGACUAAGUGCUUUUGUUUUGAGUGGAACGGUCACUGAGGCGGAGCUACCCUAGAUGCUUGGUAGAUAAGAAGGCUGGCUAAGUCGACAGAAGUAUAUUUGAUAUACAUGAUAUUCAUGUGUACUUUACUAGUACUCCCAGUAGCACGAGGGUAUUGGAUACCGGUUCGGUUGCUAAGUGAUUAGUAACACGAAAUGAAAACUACGGUAUAAACGGAGACUAGCUAAAGGCGAGGGGACGAUACGUGUUGGAAGUGCUUCCAAGGUUGAUGUGAUCAAACGUCGCACGCUCCCUCCACCAUCGGGAUUAGGUGUUAAACCUAAAUAAUUGUUAUUUGGUGCUUGCGUUGAGCAUGAACAUGAUUGGGUCGUGUUUAUUGCAAAGCGAUUAUUCAUUUAAAGAGAAUAAUGGUUACUCUAUUUUGCUUGAAUAAUCACCUUCAAUGGUUUAUUAAAUCUCGAUCGUAGUGUUACACAUGUUCAUGAUAUUGGUGCCAAAAGAUACAAGGUAAUGAUGAUAGUACCACUUACUUGUGGCACUGCUGCUUGAGUCAUGUUGGUAUAAAUUGCAUGAAGAGGCUCCAUGCUGAUGGAUCUUUAUACUCAGUUGAUUUUGAAUAACUCGUGACAUGCAAAUCAUACCACAUGAGCAAGACCUUGUUUUCGUUGAGAUGAAACAAGAUAGUAACUUGUUGGAAGUAAUACAUUUUGAUGUAUGCAGUCCAAUGGGUGCUGAGGAAAGCAGUGGAUAUCAUUAUGUUAUUACUUGAAUGACGAUUUGAGUAGAUACAUGAGUAUUUACUUAAUGAAUCACAAGUCUGAAAUAUUGAAAAAGUUCAAUUCUGUUUCAGAGUGAAGUUCGUCGUAACAAGAGGAUAAACUGUCUACGAUAUGAUCAUAGAGAUGAAUAUCUGAGUUGCGAGUUUUGGUACACAGUUAAGACAAUGUGGAAGUUGUUUCGCAAUUCAAGCCACGAAGAACACCAUGGUGUGAUGGUAUGUCCGAACGUCAUAGCCGCGACCUAUUUGAUAUGGUGCAUAUUAUGAUGUCUCUUACCGAAUUACCACUAUCGUUUAUGGGUUAUGCAUUAUAGACAACCGCAUUCACUUUAAAUAGGGCACCGCGUAUUUCCGUUGAGAUGACACAAUAUAGACUAUGGUUUAGAGAAACCUAAGCUGUCGUUUCUUGAAAGUUCGGGGCUGCGAUGCUUAUGUGAAAAGGUUUCAGUCUGAUAAGCUCGAACCCAAAGCGGAUAAAUGCAUCUAGGAUAUCCAAAACAGUUGGAUACAUCUCCUAUUCAGAUCCGGAAGCAAAGUGUUUGUUUCCAGAAAUAGAUCCUUUCUCGAGGAAAGGUUUCUCUCAAAAGAAUUGAGUGGGAGGGUGGUGGAACUUGAUGUGGUUAGUGAACCGUCACUUCAACCAGUGUGUAGUAGGGCGCAGGAAGAUGUUCCUGUGGCGCCUACACCAAUUGAAGUAGAAGCUGAUGAUAGUGAUCAUUAGAGCUUCGGAUCAAGUUACUACAAACCUUGUAGGUCGACAAAGGUCACGUUCUACUACAGAGUGGUACGGUAACCCUGUCUUGGAGGUCAUGUUGUUGAACAACAAUGAACCUACGAGUUAUGGAGAAGCAAUGGUGGGACCGGAUUCCGAUAAAUGGCUGGAGGCCAUGAAAUCCGAGAGAGGAUCCAUGUAUAAAACAAAGUGUAGACUUUGGAAGAACUACCUGAUGGUAGUAAUACUAUUAAGUAAAGAUGGAUCUUUAAAAGGAAGACAGACAAUGAUGGUGAUAAGUCACUAUUAAUAAAGGCUCGACUUGUCGCAAAGAUGUUUUCGACAAGAUCAAAGAGUUGACUAUGAUGUGACUUUCUCACUCGUAGCGAUGCUAAAAGUCUGUUGGAAUUAUGUUAGUAGUUGUUGCAUUAUUUGUGAAAUAUUGCACAUAGGAAGUCAAAACAUUGUUUCCUCGACGAUUUCCUUGAGGAAAGAUUGUAUGUAAUACAAUCAGAAGGUAUUUUCGAUCCUAAGGAUACUAACAAGUAUGUAAGCUCCGGCGAUCCUUUAUGGACUGGUGCAAGCAUCCCGGAGUUGGAAUAUAUGCUUUGAUGAGAUGAUCAAAGCUUUUGGGUUUGUACAAGGUUUAUGAGAAACUUGUAUUUCCAAAGAAGUGAGUGGGAGCACUAUAGAAUUUCUGAUAAGUAUAUGUGGUUGACAUAUUGUGGAUCAGAAGUAAUGUAGAAUUUCUGUAAAGCAUAAAAGGUUGUUUGAAAGGAGUUUUUCAAAGGAAUACCUGGAUUGCGCUACUUGAACAUUGAGCAUCAAGAUCUAUGGAGAUAGAUCGAAAUGCUUAAUAGAAGUUUCAACAAAGAUGCAUGCCUUGACAAGUUUUUUGAAAGAGUUGAAAAUAGAUAAGCAAAGAAGGAGUUCUUGGUUGUGUUGUAAGGUGUGAAUUUGAGUAAGACUCAAAACCCGACCCCGGCAGAAGAAAGAGAAAGGACGAAGGUCGUCCUCUAUGCCUUAGCCGUAGACUCUACAGUAUGCCAUGCUGUGUACCGCACCUGAUGUGUGCCUUGCCACAAGUCUGUUAAGAGGUACAGAGAGUGAUCCAGGAUUGAAUCACUGAACAACGGUCAAAGUUAUCCUUAGUAACUUAUGGACUAAGGAAUUUUUCUCGAUUAUGGAGGUGGUUAAAGAGUUCGUCGUAAAGGGUUACGUUGAUGCAAGCUUUGACACUGAUCCGAAUAACUAUGAGUAGUGAAACGGAUUCGUAUAGUAGAGUAGAUAUUUGGAGUAUUUCCGAAUAGCACGUAGUAGCAGCAUCUAUAAGAUGACAUAAAGAUUUGUAAAGAACACACGGAUCUGAAAGUUUUAGAACCAUUGACUAAAACCUCUCUCACAAGCAAGACGUGAUCAGACCCCAGAACUAUAUGGGUGUUGGAUUCGUUAGAAUCACAUGGUGAUGUGAACUAGAUUAUUGACUCUAGUGCAAGUGGGAGACUGUUGGAAAUAUGCCCUACAAGCAAUAAUAAAUUAGUUAUUAUUAUAUUUCUUUGUUCAUGAUAAUCAUUUAUUAUCCAUGCUAUAAUUGUAUUGAUUGGAAACACAAUACUUGUGUGGAUACAUAGACAAAACACUGUCCCUAGUAAGCCUCUAGUUGACUAGCUCAUUGAUCAAAGAUGGUCAAGGUUUCGUGACCAUAGGCAAGUGUCGUUACUUGAUAAUGGGAUCACAUCAUUAGGAGAAUCAUGUGAUGGACUAGACCCAAACUAAUGAAUGUAGCAUGUUGAUCAUGUCAUUUUGUUGCUACAGUUUUUCUGCGUGUCAAGUAUUUAUUCCUAUGACCAUGAGAUCAUAUAACUCACUGGCACCAAAGGAAUGCCUUGUGUGUACCAAAUGUCACAACGUAACUGGGUGACUAUAAAGGUGCUCUACAUGUAUCUCCGAAGGUGUUCGUUGAGUUAGUAUGGAUCAAGACUGGGAUUUGUCACUCCGUGUGACGGAGAGGUAUCUCGGGGCCCACUCGGUAAUACAACAUCACACACAAGCCUUGCAAGCAAUGUGACUUAGUGUAAGUCACGGGAUCUUGUAUUAUAGAACGAGUAAAGAGACUUGUCAGUAAACGAGAUUGAAACAGGUAUGCGGAUACUGACGAUCGAAACUCGGGCAAGUAACAUACCGAAGGACAAAGGGAAUGACAUACGGGAUUAUAUGAAUCCUUGGCACUGAGGUUCAAACGAUAAGAUCUCCGUAGAAUAUGUAGGAUCCAAUAUGGGCAUCCAGGUCCCGCUAUUGGAUAUUGAGCGAGGAGUCCCUCGGGUCAUGUCUACGUAGUUCUCGAACCCGCAGGGUCUGCACACUUAAGGUUUGGCGUUGUUUUAUGCGUAUUUGAGUUAUAUGGUUGGUUAAGGAAUGUUGUUUGGAGUCGCAUAUGAGAUCACGGACGUCAUGAGGGUUUCCAGAAUAGUCCAGAGACGAAGAUUGAUAUAUAGUAUGACCUCAUUUGAUUACCGGAAAGUUUUCGGCAUUACCGGGAGUGACGAAUGGGUUUCGGAUGUUCAUCGGGGGGCAGCCCACCCCGGGGAAGCCCAUAGGCCUUAGGGGUGCCGCACCAGCCCUUAGUGGGCUGGUGGGCAAGCCCAAGAAGGCCCGUGCGUAGGAGAGAAAGAAAAUCAUAGAGAAAAUAAAAAAGGGGGGGAAGUGGGAAAAUAGAGAAGGACUCCACCUUCCAAUCCUAGUUGGACUAGGAUUGGAGGAGGAAUCCUCCUCCCCCCACUUCGGCCGACCCCUUGGGGCUCCUUGAGCCUCAUGGAAAGGUCCCUCACCUCCCUCCUAUAUAUACUGAGGUAUUAGGGCUGAUUUGAGAGAACUUUUGCCACGGCAGCCCGACCACAUACCUCCACGGUUUUUCCUCUAGAUCGCGUUUCUGCGGAGCUCGGGCGGAGCUCUGCUGAGAUAAGAUCACCACCAACCUCCGGAGCGCCGUCACGCUGCCGGAGAACUCAUAUACCUCUCCGUCUCUCUUGCUGGAUCAAGAAGGCCGAGAUCAUCGUCGAGUUGUACGUGUGCUGAACGCGGAGGUGUCGUCCGUUCGGCACUAGAUCGGAGCGGAUCGUGGGACGGAUCGCGGGACGGUUCGUGGGACGGUUUGCAGGGCGGAUCAAGGGACGUGAGGACUUUCCACUACAUCAACCACGUUUCUUAAACGCUUCUGCUGUGCGAUCUACAAGGGUACGUAGAUCGGAAAUCUCCUCUCGUAGAUGAACAUCACCAUGAUAGGUAUUGCGUGUGCGUAGGAAUUUUUUUUCUUUCCCAUGCGACGUUCCCCAUCAGCCCAGGGGGCCCACAAGCCCGUGGGCCGCAGCCUCCCCCCUGGCCACGGGGUGGGGGCUUGUGGGGCCCCUGGGCCCCCUGCCUUGGCUCUCAAGCUUCCCGAUCUUCUUCCGUUACGGAACAUAUCUUUUCGGGGAUUUUCUUCCGUUUGGACUCUGUUUCAAAAUCUCCUCUGAAAGGGGUCAAAAACAUGGAGAAAAACAGGAACUGGCACUUGGCACUGAGUUAAUAAGUUAGUCCCAAAAAAUAUAUAAUAGGCAUGCAUAACAUCCAAAGUUUGACAAGAUAAUAGCAUGAAACCAUCAAAAAUUAUAGAUACGUUGGAGGCGUAUCAACAGCCUCGAGCGCCCGGUUGCUUCACCACCUCGUCCGUCUUCUUCGGAGUGAGUUCGCGCUCAAAGACUUGGGGCCUCUCCACUAUUUCCUCGGUAUAGAGGUAACGCGGCGCCCCAACAACUUCUUCUUGUGCCAGCAGAAGUACGUGCAUGACCUCCUCGAGCGCGCCGGGAUGGACAACUGCAAGGUCGCGCCCACGCCCGUCGACACCAAGGCCAAGACCUCGGCGACCGACGGCACCCUUCUUCCGGACGGAUCCUUCUGCCACAACAUCGUCGGUGCGCUCCAAUACCUGACGCUCACCCGCCCCGAACUGACGUAAGCAGUUCAACAAGUGUGCUUACACAUGCACGCGCCGCGGGACGUGCACUGGGCAUUGGUGAAGCGGAUCUUGCGGUACAUCCCUGGCACUCCUUCGUUGGGGCUCACCUUACAUGCCUCUUCUUCGCUCGACAUCGUCGCCUACUGCUACUGCAACAAAAGACCUUCCAACGGCACUAGCUACUAUCAUGGAGAACUUUGUAUUGAAGAUCCAAGAGAGAGAAGAAGCCAUCUAGCUACUAACUACGGACCCGUAGGUCUGAAGUGAACUACUCACGAGUCAUUGGAGGGGCGAUGAUGAUGAUGAUGAUGAAGCCCUCCAACUCCAAAGUCCCCUCUGGCACGGUGCCGGGAAGGGUAUCUAGAUGAGAUCUCGCGGAAACAGAAGCUUGCGGCGGCGGAAAAGUAUUUUCGAGGCUCCCCUGAUUUUUUGCGGAAUAUUUGGGAAUUUAUAGGCCAAAGACCUAGGUCAGGGGGCGGCCAGGGAGGCCACAAGCCUGCCCACCGCCGCCUCCCCCCUCGUGGCGGAGUGGGGGCUUGUGGGCUCACUAGAUCCCACCUGGCUUGGCCCAAAGGCCCCCUGGUCUUCUUCCGUUCGGGAAAAAAUCAUUUCGUGGUUUUUCUUCCGUUUGGACUCCGUUCCAAAAUCAGAUCUGGAAAGAGUCAAAAACACGGAAAAAACAGGAACUGGCACUUGGCACUGAAUUAAUAAGUUAGUCCCAAAAAACAUAUAUAAAAGGUACAUAAAACAACCAAAGAAGACAAGAUAGCAGCGUGAAACCAUCAAAAAUUAUAGAUACGUUUGAGACGUAUCAAGCAUCCCCAAGCUUAACUCCAGCUCGUCCUCGAGUAGGGAAGUGAUAAGAAUGAAUUUUUGAUGCUUUCAUGCUACCUAGCAUAUAUGUCCUUUGUAAUUCCUCUUAUGUGACGUGAAUGUUCAGAUCCAUUAGAUUCAAAGCAAUAGUUUGCUAUUGACGUGGAAACAAUAAUAAUUCAAGCAAACUAGCAAGGUAAUCAUGAACUUUCAAAAUAACAAGGCCAAAAGAAAGUUAUCCCUACAAAAGCAUAUAGUCUGUCUAUGCUCUAUCAUCAUUGCACAAUGAAUUUAAAUCAUGCACAGCCCCGGUAUUGGCCAAGUAAUUAUUUCACACCUUUACUUUCUCAAACCUUUUCAACUCUCACGCAAUACAUGAGCGUGAGCCAUGGUUAUAGCACUAUAGAUGGUGUGGAAUGUAGUGGGGGUUGCAAGACAAAAAGGAGAAGAUAGUCACAUUAACUAGGCAUAUCAAUGAUUGUGGAGAUGCUCAUCAAUAGAUAUUAAUGUGAAUGAAUAGGGAUUGCCAUACAAUUGAUGCACUAGAGCUAUGAGUAUGUGAAAGCUCUUAAAGAAAACUAGUGGGUGUGCAUCCAACUUGCUUGCUCACGAAGACCUAAGGCAAUUGUGAGGAAGCCUAUCAUUGGAAUAUACAAGCCAAUUUAUAUAAUGAAAAUUUCCCACUAGCUAUACGGUGGUGACAAAAUGAGAGACUCGCAAUCAUGAAGAUCAUGGUGCUUAAUAUGCACAAGUGUGGAAAAAGUGGUAGCAUUGUCCCUUCUCUCUUCUUCUCUCAUUUUUUAUUUGGUGGGCUCUUUGGCCUCUUUUUUGUGGACUUCUUUGGCCUCUUUUAUUUCCUCACAUGGGACAAUGCUCCAUUAAUGAUGAUCAUCACACUUUCAACUCAAAACUUAGAGUAACGAUGACUCUAUAUGGAAUGCCUUUGGUAGUGUACCGUGGCAAUGAUCUAGCAUGGCAUAGACAUCAAUGGAAACAUCAUGCUAGCUAUCUUACGAUCAUGCAAUGGCAAUGUAGACGUGGUGGCACAUGUCAUGGUGGUAGUUGCAUGACAAUAUAUCUCGGAAUGACUUUGAAAAAGCCAUAGUAGGUAGGUAUGGUGGCUGUUUUGAGGGAGGCAAAUGGUGGGUUUUGUGCACCGACGAAAGUUGCAUGGCACUAAGAAGAUGGUGAUGGUGGAAGGUGAAAGUGCAUCUAAACCAGGGACUCAACAUUAGUCAUGAAGAACUCAUAUACUUGUUGCUAAAGUUCUAUUAGUAAUCGAAACAAAGCAUUCAACACAUACUCCUAGGGGAAGGGUUGGUAGGUAUAAACCAUCGCGCGAUCCCGACCGCUACGCAAAGGAUGACAAUCAAUAGACUAAUCAUGUUCAGAUUUCAUCACAUAGCGGUUCACCAUACGUGCAUGCUACGGGAAUCACUAACUUCAACACAAGUAUUUCUAGAUCCACAACACCUUACUAGCAUGACUUCAAUAUUACCAUAACCACAACUCAAAACUAAUUGAGAUGAAUCAAACUUCUCUAACUAUUCAAUGCACAUGAAGGUGGAAGUUUUCGUAUCCCUUUAGAUAACUACCCCUUUUGAGACUACUUUCAAAGCAUAGAUCAACUACCAAGCCAUGCACCGCUGUGCUCUAAAAGAUAUAAGUGAAGCACAUAGAGCAAAAGUAUCUAGCUCAAAAGAUAUAAGUGAAGCACAUGUGAGCUGAAUUGUCUACCAAAAGAUAUAAGUGAAGCUCGACAAAAUCAUGGUGUGUGCAUGUCUCUCUCUCUAGGUGUGUAGCAAGGAUGAUUGUGACACAACAAAAUUAAAAGACUCCUACAAUACAAGACGCUCCAAGCAAAAACACAUAACAUGUGGUGAAUAAAAAUAUGGCCCCAAGUAACGUUACCGAUGGAUUGAAGACGAAAGAGGGGAUGCCUUCCCGGGGCAUCCCCAAGCUUAGGCUUUUAUGGCAUCCUUGAAUCUUUUGGGGUGCCUUGGGCAUCCCCAAGCUUGAGCUCUUGCCACUCUUUAUCUCUUUGUCCAUAAGAACUUCACCCAAAACUUGAAAACUUCACAACACGAAACUUAAACAGAAACUCGUGGUAACAUUAGUACAAGAAAGCAAACCACCACUUCCUUAGGUACUGUAGCAAACUUAAAUUCUACUUAUGCUGAUGUUGGGUUACUGUACUUUCAAUCUUCCAUGGCUAAUAUCCCCGAUACUAUCCAUAGUUUCAUCAAAAUAAGCAACCAACACAACAAAAAACAGAAUCUGUUAACAGCAGACCAGUCUGUAGAGAUCUGUAUAUUUCGUAUACCUCUGGUACUUCAAAACUUCUGAAAAAUUAUGACAGUCUCAAGAAUUUACGUAGCAAUUAGAAGCAAAAAUAAUCAACUCAAAAGCUCUUACAGAAAAAAAAUGAAAAUUCUUUUCGUGAGUAGAAAGUUUCUGUCUUUUCCAGCAUGACCAAACGAUCAUCCCCAAGACUAAUCGUAACGGUUUUUCUUGGCACAAACGCAAAAAGAAACACAAAAACACAAUCAUAACAGAAUUAUGAAAGUGUGAAAAACACAAAACAGAAAGAAAAAUGAUAGAUUCGUUGGGUUGCCUCCCAACAAGCGCUUUUGUUUAACGCCCUUAGUUAGGCAUUGAAUGAUGCUCUCACAAAAGACAAGAAUUGAAGCACAACGAGAGAAUCCUAAAGCAUGUGAAAAUCACAUCUAAGUCUAACAUACUUCCUAUGCAUAGGCAUUUUAUAGGAAAACAAAUUGUCAAGACAACCAAUAGCUGCCAUAUGCAAGGAAGAAGAAAGAGACAAGAGCAAUCUCAACAUCACGAGAGGUGAUUUGGUAACAUAAAAGUUUCUACCAAAAUAUUUUCCUCUCUCAUAGCAAUUACACGUGGGAUCAUUUUCAAAUUCAACAAUAUAGCUAUCCCAUAGGAUAUUAUUUUCAUGAUCCACAUGCAUGCAAAGUUGACGCUCUUNNNNNNNNNNNNNNNNNNNNNNNNNNNNNNNNNNNNNNNNNNNNNNNNNNNNNNNNNNNNNNNNNNNNNNNNNNNNNNNNNNNNNNNNNNNNNNNNNNNNNNNNNNNNNNNNNNNNNNNNNNNNNNNNNNNNNNNNNNACGCUCUUCAAAAAUAGUGGAAUUGUCAUCAAAUAAAGUCAUGACUUCUCCAAUCCCACUUUCAAUAUUGUCGCAAAUAUCAUAUUCAUCAUGAGGUUUGAACAAAUUUUCAAGAUCAUAAGAAAGAUCAUCACCCCAAUCAUGAUUAUUGCAACAAGUAGUGGACAUAGCAAAACUAGCAUCCCCAAGCUUAGGGUUUUGCAUAAUUUCAGCAUGAUUAUCACUAAUAGAAUUUAUAGUGAAACCAUUGCAAUAAUGCUUUUCAUCCAAGGAACCCUCGUGAAUCACUUCAUAAUUUUCUUCCACACAAUUUUCAGAUUCACGCCUCUCAAGCAAAACUCCAUAGAAAUAGUCAAUUGCCCUCAACUCACUAGCAAUUCAUUCCACAUAAGUGGGUCUCUUAAAGAUAUUAACAAACGAGGAUGCAAGCAUAUUGAAGGCACAUGGCACACAAGUGAACAAAAAGCAAGCGAGAAAAAGGGCGAACGAAAAAGGAAAAAGGAAAACGGCAAAUGUGAAGUNAUAUAUAUCAUAGAUAAUCUGAGCACAAAUCCACAAUUCAUCUUAUCUCGACAAACACACCGCCAAAGAAGAUUACAUCGGAUAGAUCUCCAUGAAGAUCAUGGAGAACUUUGUAUUGAAGAUCCAAGAGUGAGAAGAAGCCAUCUAGCUACUAACUAUGGACCCGUAGGUCUGAAGUGAACUACUCACGAGUCAUUGGAGGGGCGAUGAUGAUGAUGAAGAAGCCCUCCAACUCCAAAGUCCCCUCCGGCAGGGUGCCGGGAAGGGUCUCCAGAUGAGAUCUCGCGGAAACGGAAGCUUGCAGCGGCGGAAAAGUAUUUUCGAGGCUCCCCUGAUUUUUUGCGGAAUAUUUGGGAAUAUAUAGGCCAAAGACCUAGGUGAGGGGGCGGCCAGGGAGGCCACAAGCCUGCCCACCGCCGCCUCCCCCCUGGUGGCGGAGUGGGGGCUUGUGGGCUCCCUGGAGCCCACCUGGCUUGGCCCAAAGGCCCCCUGGUCUUCUUCCGUUCGGGAAAAAAAUCAUUUCGGGGUUUUUCUUCCGUUUGGACUCUGUUCCAAAAUCAGAUCUGAAAAGAGUCAAAAACACGGAAAAAACAGGAACUGGCACUUGGCACUGAAUUAAUAAGUUAGUCCUAAAAAAGAUAUAAAAGGUACAUAAAACAACCAAAGAAGACAAGAUAGCAGCGUGAAACCAUCAAAAAUUAUAGAUACGUUUGAGACGUAUAACCUACUCCGAUGCGGAUUGGGCUGGCUGUCCCGACACCCGACGCUCUACCUCAGGCUACUGCGUCUACGUCGGCUCGUUGCUCAUUUCCUGGUCGUCCAAACGACAACCGACGGUGUCCCCCUUGAGCGCCGAAGCAGAGUACCGUGCCGUGGCCAAUGCCGUGGCGGAAUGCUCUGGGCUCCGACAGCUCCUUGGAGAGCUGCAAUGUGCUGUCCAACACGCCACCGUUGUCUACUGCGACAACGUCUCUGCUGUCUACCUGUCCGCCAACCCGGUGCACCAUCGGCGGACCAAACACAUCAAGCUUGACAUACACUUUGCAUGGGAGAAAGUUGUGCUUGGGGAUGUUCGCCUUCUUCAUGUGCCUACCUCUCAACAAUUCGCCGACGUUAUGACUAAGGGGCUGCCGGUGUCGGUCUUCGAAGAAUUCUGAUCGAGCCUCUGCGUCUCCGGCGACGUUUCGUUUGGGGGGUGUUGAAGCACUCGUCUAUACCGUUGCUCACGACAACCCUUCUCUUAGCGCAUGCAUAGGAUGAGCUACCCACUCGCCCACUCCCCUCCUUCUUGCUCGGGUAGUUAGGCUGUUAGGCUAGCUUAUCCUCUCCCUCUGUACAUAUAUAAGUAUGUGUUGUGUCAAUGAGAAUCGGUGUGCAACAAAUUAUUUCUUUCUCCCUUGCUUUACAGAUAUAAUUCAGAAGUUUGCGGGCAGUGCCUACAGAUGCACUGACAGCGUCCGUGAGUGUUUGAGAAACCGUAUUUAUCAAGUGUGGCUCUAGAUGCUCUAACUUUCUCCACCAGUGCGUGCGUGAUUUUACCACGGGUUUCGUCAAAUUUCGCCUCAUUCGAGAAGUCAGGAGUAUGUAUAUAUGUGCAGUAACAUAGCUACUAACAUAGUCUUGGGACUAGCAAACAUGGUGAUGUGACAAGUAAUUAAAGAAGAGAGAGAGGAUUAGAGUAACAUAGGUAGAUAUCGUAACAUGUUAAAUUCUAUGCUACUAUGUGUCAUGCAUGUCAAUAAAUGAGAUCACCUAUGAUACUAGUUUAUGAUACUCCCUCUGUUUCUUUUUAGUCUGCAUAUAAGGUUUGGUUAAAGUCAAGUUUUGUAAAGUUUGACUAACUUUAUAUUAAAAAAUAUCAACAUUCAUAACAUGAAAUCAAUAUUAUCAGAUGCAUCGCGAGAUGUAUUUUCAUACUAUAUAAUUUUAGUAUAGUAGAUAUUAUUAUUUUUUAUAUAAAUUUGGUCAAACUUUAUGUUGUUUGACUUUGACCAAAUCUUAUACGCGGAGUAAAAAGAAACGGAGGGAGUAAUAUGCACUAUGAAGGUAGUAUCAUACAAUAGUAACAUAUGCAUAAUACUACUACUAGCAAAAGAGCCCGUGCGUUGCAACGGGAGAAAAAAAUACCACACGCUUUUAAUCUUUUUAUAAUGAUUUGGAUUUAUUAAAAUAAUAAGCUAACUAACUAAUGUAGUUAGUCCUAUCCUAUUUUGUUGAGAAAUCAACCCGUCCAUUGUUAAUUCCACCAUAAUGAGAAAUUGAGCGGAACAAGCAAAGCAAAACAAAGAGCCUACGUGAAUUGAUCAAUGGAUUGUUAUCUUAUUUCACUCAUGAGAUAGAGAAUGUGGGAUCAGAUGACAAAUUGAAGGUGGUGUUCCAUUCUCUCUCUCUACAACAACGCAAUCUUACAUUCAAUACAUUCAUUCAUCAGCAAACAAAUUUCCACAAAACAAAAUUUCUUGCCGGUGCUUGGCACACGGUUGGAGGCAUGGGGAGGGGAUCUCACGAGAUGAUGAGUUCCAGUCGGAGGAGGGGAUAAGCAAGGGUUAGGCGCCUCUAUCUGGCCAUAAGGAGUCGCCGUUGCCGCGCCAUAACCUCGGAGUUCCCCGUGUGAGCCAUGGAAGCCCACCUCCACCUGCAAGUACUUCACUCCGCCGCGCCUUAUCCGCGCGCCGCUGCCGUUCUGCAUCGAGCAGACGCAUCAUCCCAAGUCGUUGUAGCUGUCGCGUUGAUUUGAUCCAGAAGCUGUGCUAGAGCGCCGAAACGGGGGCAGCAAGCGGGCAGAGGUACGACCGCGGAGGCGGGUGGGUUGAGAUCGACAGCAAUGGUGGUUGAGGUCGGCUGCGGCGGCGAGUGGUGUGACAGCGGCCUCGGCACAGGCCAGGGUGGACCAGGGUCGACGCGAUGCGCUCGAACGCCGCAACGGGGGCAGCGAGCGGGGAGAGGUACAGCCGCGGAGGUGGGUGGGUUGAGAUCGGCAGCGGUGGCGGUUGAGGUCGGCCGCGGCGGCGAGUGGUGUGGCGACGGCCUGGAUAUAAUUUUUGCAGCGAAUUAUUUUUUCCUUUUGCGUUGCAGAUAGAUGAUGAGGUGCGGGUUGAAUAACAAAAAUACAGGGGCUUUUUUUUUUAUAAAAAUGGCGUGGUGGUCGAUAUGUUACUUUUCACUAGGAGCAGCCUAAAACGCUGAAUAUAUCCGGCCGUAAUUCGAGGCAGUAAAAUUAUCACACGACAAUUUAAUUACUGGAGUACAGUACGUAGUAUUAGUAGUUAUUGUGGAGUGUAGUGGUUGGUUCCGGUGCUGGUAAUGACUUCACUGUAGCCUGCCUAGCUAGCCUGCCCCGACAUUUGCCGCAAAAAGAAGUAUUUUGUCCCGGCAACGAAACGCAGGCUGGUCGAUGGUGGAGCAGCGCCGCUAGCUGGCUGGCUUGGCCCUGUGCCGUCGUCUUCCUCCGAGGACACGGGAGGUAAUGACGCUGCCCAUCGUAUGCCCAGCCCCGUACCGAUCUCGCUGUCAGACUGGCAGUGCAUGACUCCAUGCCGUGAACACCAAGAGAGCCACUAGUGUGUUUGCGUGUGUGUUAAUUUCACGGCCGUAUAAACAUCGUACCCGUACCCAUGGUGGCUGGCAGUGGCGGAGCCGAGUGGGUGGCAUCGCAGUUCACGCCGGGGGCCUUGGACCCUUGCUCGGACGAGGAGACAGGCACGAGGAAGAAGAAAAGCCACGCGCACCGCAUCGCAGAUCACGCGCCAAAGGGAGAAAUCGGCCGGGCUGAUAUAGAUUACAAAAUUGUGGGUGGAGGCUAAACUUCAGCAUUUCCGAGGAUGGAACUUGUCUGCCAGCGCCGCAUAUGCGUGGUCGUGCUCUGCUCUCCCUGUGUUUGCCUUUUCUUCCUGAUUUCCUACGGCAGGGUGUGCCCUCUACAUGAUGUACAUAAAAGGGAAAAAAAAGAAGCGGUGUGCAUUUUUCUGAAGGAAAGUGUGCCGCAUCUUCUUCAUUUUUUUUAAUGAGGAUGUACUCCCUCCAUUCCUAAAUAUAAGUCUUUGUAAGAUUUCACUAGUGGACUACAUACGGAUGUAUAUAGAUAUACUUUAGAGUAAAGAUUUAAUUAUUUUAUUUCGUAUGUAGACCCUUAGUAAAAUCGUUUAAAAGAUUUAUAUUUAGGAACGAAGGGAGUAUAAGAAUAAUGCAGCGGCUUAACCAGUGAAGGAGGGCAGCGGCGAAGCAUGGUAAUUGGGAACGGUUUGCAUGAUAGCAUAUGUUGGCCCAGGGUGACAAGUUUAGCUUGUAAAAUUGAUGAAUCCAUUUCAGCUCAGUUUUUGCAAGGAUUUGCUAUGCUUGCAAACUAAACUUCAUUUUCUGGAGGACGAACCGUUAAGACUGGUCAGUGUGGAAUAACUUCGACCAUUAACAUGCAUAUGUUAUUCUUUUUUUUUUUUGCGAUGAAACAUAUGUAUAGAGUAACAUAUGUGGUGUCAUGUAACACUUCAUUCAUUAAAUUUUAUAUUAUAGACUCACUUUGUCUUCACACGUGUGAUGUUACUCAUAGUGUGAAUAACUAGUCAUAUUAUUUAAUUUAUAUUUUUCCUUAUUAAAUAAUUGUCACAUAAACAAAUUUAUUGAGUUAAACCUUAUGUUACUCCUGAAGUUAUUUCCUCUAUGGGUAGUAUAAUAAUGAGAAGUUUUUAAAGCUAGCUAAUAACGAGAGUUGUGGUCCUGUGCUUUUAUUAUGCCCACUUAUGGGCUGCUAUUUCGGCAGCCCAUACUCCUAUCUAGACAAUUCCUAUUUGGUGCAUUCCGUGGAAAAUACUCGCCCCUUCGCAUAGGCGCAAGUGACUCAACUUAUAUAAACGAACAUAUGGCUUGACGUUACUAUCAGGAUGCCGUCAUGUAUAAAUCGUGUGUCUGUUAACACUUGGCUUAUAUAUAAAUUGUGUGUUUUCGUUGUGACUCUCAGCUUACACCUGAUAAGCCGGUCCUUAGUAAGUUGUAUGGUAUAAAUCAGGGAAAACACUCGGCUUAUAUAUAAACCCAAUGUAAACUGUUAUAAGUCUAGUGUUUCGGGCACUCAGCUUAUUAAUUUUUUUUCUUGUAGUGCAUGUUGCAGAAAUUUAAACAUAGGUCAAGUAGCGAAUGAGAUAGGCCGGCCCAUUCAACGAAUAGAACAUGCUACAUGACCUGGAUUUUUUUAGCCUACUUCAAUUAGUUUUCAUCUCUUUUGAUUUCUUUCUGUUGUUUCUUUUAUCAGUAUUCUUUGUUUUUCCCUUUUUUCAAAUGUCUUCUUUCAAAUAAAUCUUUUGAAUUUCAAAAAAUUCUUGUAGUUUAAGUUUUCAUUUUUAAUUUCAAAAAAAAUAUUCUUGCUCAAAAAGUUAUUAAUUUUUUUAAACAUUCGGGUUUCAAAAAAUUUGCAGAAUCUUAGAAAAUAUCCACAUUUUCAAUAUAUUUAAAAACAAUACUAGCGAACUUUAAUAAAUAUCACUGUCUUAAAAAAUGAUUAGAAUUGUUUUAAAAAACAUGUUUCUAGAAAGCGUGCAAAAUUUUAAAAUAAGUUCAUGUUUAACAUAUGUUCUCAAAAUUUUAAAACCCGGUGACUAAAGUAACACGGUUCACUAAAGUACCCUCCUAGCUCGCUCGCUAGCAGUUCGCGGAUGGACCAGCCCACCAAGAUAAACCGCCUUUGUUUUGCAAGCCUUCUAUUUGAUGCAAAUAGCACAAAAUAGGAGGCUUCAUCUAACAGGUCACACCCGACACCAUGACAUGCAUGAGAUCCCGAGCCUACCACAACAAUUGUGCCCCUCCUCAAAAUUUGAUGGGGCCUGUCUACAGGUCGCUUGCAGCAAGUGCUAUCCUCGCCUCGUCUACAUGUUCGCUGCUCGCCUCUAUUGGGUUGCCCCGUGAAUCACACUUACCUACCAAUGUGCUUCUCGCAUGCCUUGAGCCUCGCAGCGGUGCGUUGCAAUCUCGUUCCUCUUAACAAAAAAACUUAUCAUGCUCUUUACUAUGGUCAACUUACAAAUUAAAAAAACUAAAUCCUGUGCAACAUUUUUUUGAAUUCCUAAAAUGUCUUAAUAAAUAUAUAAAUAAAUGCGUGACUUCCCGAAAACAUUGCAUAAAAUUUUGAAAAUUUUCGCACCACUCAAGAAAAUAUCAUAACAUUUAUUUAUUUUCACAUAUUUGAAAUAUUGUUCAUGACAAUACUAGAAAAUGUUCAUGAAAUUUUUAUGACAUUCGAGCAAAGUUUGACAAAAAGUGUUCUUGACACGUAAAACUUAUUCACCCCAAAUUGGAAAAUAUUUAUAUUUUACUUAUAAAAUGUUCACCAUGAAUUUAAAAAAUGCAACAUGUAUUAAUUUUUUAAACAUGUAUCUGAAAAAUGUUUAAUGCAUAUUAAAAAACCAUUCAUCGUGUAUGUAAAAAGAGGUCAACGUGUUGUUUAUUUGGUGUUUGUAUUUUUUAGUAGGUAUUUUUAAAGUUUAUUUGGAAAACAAGAAUACUUUUUUGAAACACAUAUAAAUCUGUAAAAAACACUGGGAAAUACAGAAACACCGGACCAAACCUUUCAAAACCGGACUCUAUAUCUCACUUCUAGGAAGACGUAAGCCAACGUCAUCUAAAGAGUAGCAUGGUUGUGUAUUUCUUCAAUCUGUUUUUUUCUACUUAUUUCAUUUUUUUAUUUUUUUUCACAAAAAUUCUAAAUUUAUAUAUUUCAUGGCGAAUUACAAAAAUUAUUUUGAAUAAUAAACAGUGUUAAAAAUGUUUGUGCAACUUUAGAAAAUGUAGAUAUCAUUUAAAAUAUAUAUUUUAGUGCGUAUGUAAAAAAUGUUUAACACAUAUCCGAAGAAAAAGUUGAAAAGGAUGGGUUAAAAAAGGUGGAACAUGUAUCUGGAAUAUGUUAAAUGAAUAUUAAAUAAAUGUUUUAUAUGUAUAUAAAAAUGUACAUUGUGUAUGAAAAAAUAAACACGAAACUAUUAUUUGAAAAAAUUAUUAAACAUGUUUAAAUCAUGUUACUCAUGUAUAUGAAGAAAAUGUACAAUGUAUGUGUCAAAUGUAGACAACAAAAAUAUACAUUCUGAAAAAAGGUUUGUCAUGUAGUUGAAAAAUGUGAAACAUGUAUACAAUUAAUGUUUCAUAUGUAUACACAAAAUUUAGAACCUACAUAAAAAAAUACUUAGAAAAAAUAUAUUAAAAAAAAUGUUAAUCACGUAUGUAAAAUUUAAUAAUCAUGUAUGAAAAAUGUUAUUGUUGUAUACAAGAAAUGAAUAUAUUUGUAAAAUUAUAGAUCGUGUAUUUUAAAAAUGUUUAAAAAAUGCUCUUUAUGUAUAUUAAAAGGUACAUUGUGUGUGAAAAAAUAGACAUGUGUUAGAAAAGGAAAUAGAAAAAUAGCUAAGUAAAUUGAAGAAAAUAAUGGAACAGAGUGAAAAGAUUAAAAAAACAAAGAAAAGAAAACCCAAAGAAACUAAUGUAAAACAGUAAAACUAUUGGUACAUUAUUGGUCCGGCCCUAAAAUGCUGCCUGUAGGCGAGAUGUAAUACAUCUUUUUACGGACAAUAUAUAGCUUACGCGCCCAAAAUCAUACUACUAAACAGUGGCCACCUACUUGCUACUGGGCCAUUGCCCGUAUAGGAAGCAUCCUAGAGGCAAGCUUUUGUUUCAUAGCGGCUAAUCACUGACAAUAUAAUUUCAGCUUAUGAAUUAUUGUAUUUUAUAAAGAUAAAUGGAUCAAAGAAUAACAAUUAUCGUGCUCUAAAGCUUGACAUGAUGAAAUCGUAGGAUAUAGUUGAAUGGUCACAUCUCAGGGUUAUCAUGGAGAAGCUGGGUUUUGCUCGACAAUGGAUAUCUGUUAUCAUCAGCAUGAUGAGCUCAUUAUCUUUUGAAACAUGUUCAAUGGAAUAAAAUCAAAGGAAUUUAAACCUACAUGAGGUAGUCGAGAGGGAGACCCUAUCUCUCCAUACCACUUCUUGUUAACAUCAAAGGUCCUUUCGUGCCCGUUAAAAGUCUCAAAAACAGUCAUCCUAGCUCAGCGGUAUCAAGAUGACACUAACGACUCCGUUGGAGAAUCACCUUCUUUCGUAGAUGACAACAUACUAUUUUUCAAGGCGAGUAUUAAUGGAGCUGAAGAGGUAUCAAACCUAUUGGAUAAAUAUUUCAUAGCGUCGGGACAGAGAAUAAAUAGAGAGAUCCUCAAGUUUUUUAAGCAAAGGCUCUCCGAAUGACGGAGGGGGGUUGAGUGAAGUGGGUAGGGUUUGGUCCGACAAACAGAUGAAAACAAAUAUAUAUGAAAUCGGAUGGACCAGCGUGGUCUGAGUCCGACAUGGCGAACGCGCGUGAACGUCCUAUAUCCGGAUUGAUUUUUCAUGAUCGAUCGAUGACCGUACCGUCUGCCCGGACGGACGCCAGGUUUGGGACGCGCGACUCUAGAUGCUCUUAGCACGAGCUAGUAGGUCAGGAAAUGGUAGUACUUUGUUUCAGAAGAGCAGUGCGCUGACUGUGUGCAUCGUACUGAGCUCUUCGGUCGGCAGUGGUCGAAAUGCAGUUGUCGUGGAUUGAAAUGCCUAAAAUCUCAAGUUGUGCUGUUCUUGGGCAAUUCCUUUUCCUGUUCUGAUCAAGAUUUUGCUGCCUAAAACAUCUACUACUCCUGUUAGUCUUGGCUUCAACCGUGGCAAACUAGCAGAGGAAGGCUAGCUUCCAAGCCUGCAUUGAAGUUAGAAAACCACACCCAACAUCCUGAAGAAAAGGAAAAAGACUGGACACAAAUUUAAGAACCACCGAAAGAUUCACUUUAUUUUGCACUUGUGCACUUCUGCAUCCACGAACGCGACAUGCUGCUUAUUCAUUCAUUCACACGACGACCCAAUGAACUAACUAGCGUUCAUGGGAAGACGCAGUAGGCGCCUCCAUGGAUGGUUGGCAGGUUGCACUGCCCGGGCAGGGCGAGCGUUCUGGCGAAGUCCCUCUUCACCUCCGCGGGGCACUCGGUCGCCAGCGGCGGCAGCUGAGGGGGCGCGCCUUGGCUUUGACUGGGAGGGAACGCCCGGUCGAUGAAGACGCGCAGCCCCUCGCAGCGGCAGUUGGACGAGAUGCCGGCCAGCUCCCGGCAGCACCAGUCCUUCAUCACCUCGAUGGGGAGCAGCGGCACGGCGCCGCAGGUCUGCGAGGCCACGUAGAAACGGCAGCCCUGGAGCGGGUUGACGGGGAGACCCAUCCCUUCGUAGCAGGUGUAGAUGCUGGUGGCGGUCGCGACGCCGGCCAGGACGGAGAAGAUGGCGACGGCUGAGAGGAGGUGCUGGCUGCAGGACGCCAUUGGCGUUUGCUGUGUUUUCUGUG